AGCGGAAGCAUAAGCCAUGAUGCUAGUUUCUUGUUCAAAUUUUUCCAUGUCCUCCUUAAACAUUACCACCAAUGCUUCUAUUCCUUCACCGUCACUUGCGCUUGUUAAAAUAGCAAGAUCAGGUAACAAUAUGGGCCCGAGACUAAACCAAACAGGCUUCCCCCAACCAAAAUCAACUUCAUCACAAGGCAAUCCAACCAUACUAGUCAAAAGAAAUGACCUUGAAUCUUCCCCUACUUGGUACAUAUCCUUAAUGAAACCAAAAUACUCAUCAUUAUUCAUCACAUCUCUUCCCAUUCUCUUGGCUUUUACCACUUCUCUUACUAAAUUUGUUACCUGUAUGGCAUCAUCCUCGGCUAGUGACCAUUCUGCCCUUACAAGCCGAGUAAUGUUGCCCAUGCACCGUGGAAACAUUGGUGGAUUCAUCUUGUUACGCAAAUUCAUAGCAUAAUACAUUGAAUGAGAGUGCAACUUGUUAUCAAUUGCCCUCUUUCUUUCACGCGCUACAGCGAUGGAGGCACCCCAAAUGAGUGCUGAAACAACCCCGAAACGUGUUGCUUGUAACACGUCAUCGUCAGAAUUGUUAUCAGCCAUUAAUUCUUUAUUCACCUUCUCCUUUAGAGUUGCUAUCUUCUUGCCAUCGAACAACAAUCUUUUGAACACAAUCUUGCGUGAAGAUUGUGGGCUUGGGAUCUGAUACUGCUGUGGGAACUUUACUGGCGGAAACAGAGAGGUGCAAUCUAAAACGAUAUUGUUAUUGAACAUAUUAUCAUUAUCAUUAAUCACCCCACGAGCGAUUUCACCCCAGGUUUUCAUGAAGUUAAAGAUUGCCGAACCGUCGGCCACUCCAUGAGAAAAACAAACACCAAUUGCCAUUUCACCGCUGUUGAACAAAUUUACUUGGACAGCCAAAAGUUCUCUUUCAGAAAUCUCUAAAUUCGAUAAUUGGGGACUAGGUGGGAUUAAUUGUUGUAGCAGCUCCAUAUCUGGUGGUUGAAGAAACUUUGAUAUAUCACAGCCAACAUUUGCUUCAAUAAAUGCAGCCCCACGAUCAUUACAGUCGACUGAAAAGCCAUCAAUGAAUCUUCCAGCAAAAGGGUAGUAGUGGGUUAAUGCUUUUGCGAGAGAUUGCUUCAAUAAAUCGGAUUUUUUUCUGAAAUCUUGGUUCUUGCAACUGGUCGAGUAGAAGAAAACUAGGGGAAUGUAAACAUCAGUAUUCAUUUGAUCAAUCCAUGAAAGUUUAUAGGUUCUAAGAUGUUUUCGCGUUGGAAGUGAAGGUUUGACUCUUUUGGUGGAAAUUAUCUGAACUUCAGAAGUGGCACUUUUGAUACUUCUUUUUGUGAAGAUCGGGAUAUCAUUGGGGAUUAAUUUGGAAGCAAUUAUUGGGAAAUUGUUUUUGAGAGUCACUGCCAUCUUUUGCUGGCUUUGAGAAAUUAUUCACCAAAGUGAGUGUUGAGUGGCAUAUAGUGUGCAGCCAAAUUCAUCAUAUUUAUAAGUGUCUUGCAUAAUUGCUUCUUGAAAGAUCGGAUCUCCAAAAUAAUAAAGAAAAUCAAAGCGAAUCCCUUAGAAAAUAUACAAAGUCAACAAAUGGAGGUGAUUUCAACGAUAGGCAAUAUUAAAAAAAUUUCUCACUCUCCGGGUCAAUAGAUCAGAUUGAGAUAUAUCAAAUUCUACUAAUUCUUGUUACUUGUUAUAUAAGAACAUGUAUUUAAUAUAUAGAAAGAAGGGAAACUAAUGAGUAAAAUAAAAUUUGUACAACACUUAAAUAUUUUAUGAAAGUAACAUAAAUAUUUUAGAUUUGCCCAUAAAUAUGCUAGUUACUAUUUUAUUUUAAUGUCACUAGAAUAUUAACUAGCAAGAAGUAACUGUUUGUAUCUCAGAAGGAAUAAGUCGAAUUGGUUUGUCCCCUUAUAGUGAAAACAAGAGGUCACAUGAUCAUUUCCCUCUCCCACCAACCCUGGGAAAUAAAAUUAUUUAAUUGAUGCUUCAUUUAUAGGAUGGAAUAUGAAAUUAACUUUUGAUACUUUUGUUGAAAUUGGAAUUAUACACACAGACAUAAAUAUAUAUAUGAUGUGCUAGGUGAUUAGUGUGAUUGUGUAUUUGGACGGGUGUGUGUGUGCACGCGCUUGCGUGCAUGCGUGAAACAACCCGACCCAAACCCUCAGGGUAAGUCUAUCUAAUCGCAUCAAAACUGAAUAGAUAAUAAUCUAAUUAGUAAGAAUUCUUCUGAAAAUUCCGCAAAAUUUCCUUUAUAAAUAUAACACUCUCAAUAUGCAACUAUGCAGAACAAGCACUCCUAAAAUAAUUCAAUAUACAACCAACUCCAAUGAUUAUUGAUAACUCUAUAAAAUGAGAGUUAUCAUGGUACUUUUAAACUUAAAUCAUUAUUACAUAGAGAGUAAAUGACAUGUUUUGAUUGCAUUUUAGUUUUAUUUGGCAUGAAUAUCCAUUUUAGUUUAUUUUUAAUAAAUUGCGUUGUUUUAGAAUAAUUUUAUGUGCUUAGAUUGUGUGCAUAAUUGUAAGAAAAGAACUUGUCUACAGAAGAAUUGAAAUAAAUCUAGAACAGUGUAGUUGUUGUAGCCGUUGUUGUAGCAUCCGUUGCUGUAGCAUCCAUUGCUGUAACAAUCCUGGAACAACGACAUGGAAGAUUUCGUGCGAGAUACUUAGAAGAUUGCAAUCUGGAGUUUUCAUAAUCUAGAAGAUACGUGCCCUAGACUUCCGUUUACCCUAAUUUUCAUCUAUAAAAGAAGCACAAACGCAAAGGAAAAAGAAUGUCGUGAAUCAAAAACAAAAACCGAAAGAAACAAGAGCAAAACAUGAUUCAAGAGCAAGAUUUAAGGUGGCAUCAAAAGAGAAUUUGCAGAAAUCAAUCGGGAACUCAAUCAUUUUUAUUAUUUUCUUGUUUACUUUUUAGUCAUGAGGAUGUGUUUGAUGGCUAAAACUUUGUUCUUUAUUUUUCUUUUGUAAACCAUGAACUAAAUUUAUUUGUGGUUGAGUGAUAAACAAUCUUGGUGGUUUAUUGACUGAAUAUAUGUGUUGUUGUAUGUUUGCUAUAGCAUUUUAUCUUGAUAGUAUUUAUUUCUAUUUAUUAUUUUGGCUGAUCACCCAUUUAAUGAUACUAGCUAAAAAAGAGCCACAAAAAAGCCUAUCUUAGUGGAACAUAUCAGAGUAAUACUUGGUUUUAGAUUGAGUUUCCUGAUAUGAGUUUUACUUAAUUCCAAAAGAACCAUACUUAAUCUAAAAUUAGUGAUGAACUAGACAUAUGGAUUCACCUUGUAGGGUAAUUAGAACCUAAGCGUGUAAUGCUAUAUCUUAUGUUGGCAUAACAACUGAUCACUGUUAGGUUGCAUAUAGAUAUAAAAUAUCUAAUAUGCAACAACUGAGGAUAUAUAAGGAUUCUGCCUAGUGCUGUAGCAGCCAAGCCAAACAUUAGAAAAAUAGUCAAAACCAUUAAGUGAGUUUAAUCACUCAACUACUCAUUUCUUAUUGAUUGCAUUUUCGUGUUUGAUUUAAUAUUUUCUUUAUUGCAUUUUUAAUUUAGUUAGUUUGUUAGUUUCUUUAAUUAUUUUAUUUUAAUUUAAUCUAAACUGCACUAUUAGAAUUGCUGUAGCAAAUCUGAUAACAUCAAUCCCUGUGGAGACGAUCUUGAAUACUCAUAAUUCUAUUACAUGUUGUGUACACUUGCACAUUGACACCCAUAGCAUUUGAAUUAAAUACAAUAAGUUUUUGGCGCCAUUGUCGGGGAUUGAUUGUUCAUUGUGAUUUGUGAAAUUAGUUUUAACGAUGCUAAUUUUUAAUUAUAUUUUAAUUUGUUUACUUUAUUGACAUAAGUGAUCUAACAACCCUUGUAUGCGCAAAUAUAAAUUUGUUGAAUUUCAGUUCGAUCUAGAAAUUAAAAGAACUGCAAGGAGAUUGAGAAGAGAGCAUCGGGAAUUAUAAAUUGCUGUAGCAAUGGAUGAUUUGUAAGAUAUAAGAAACUUGAACCCUAGAAGGGAGUUACAACUAGUAAAUGUACAUGAAGGUUUGAAUGGACAACAUGUUCAAAGGCAACCAGGGAACAACAACAUUAUUCAUAUGACGAACGAUAGAGAUAGAGCCAUUCGAGACUAUGCAGUGUUGACUCCUCAAGUCAUACAUUCGAGAAUAGUUAGACCCGACUUUCCCGCUGACAAUUUUGAGCUCAAACCAUUGAUAUUUCAAAAGCUGCAAACAGUGAGGCAAUUUAAUGGACUGCCUUAAGAAGAUCCUCAUCUACAUUUUAAGUUAUUUUUGGAAGUGAAUGAUGUUUUUAAGAUUGCUGGAGCAUCACAGGAAGCAUUACGACUCAGACUUUUCCCGUUUUCUUUAAAAAUCGAGCAAGAGUAUGGUUGAAUUCUUUACCACUUGAUUCCAUCAAUGACUUGACUGAUAAAUUUUUGAUGAAAUACCUCCCGCCAACCAAGAAUGCAAAAUUGAGGAACGAGAUCACAUCUUUCCAUCAACUUGAAGAUGAGAGUUUGUAUGAUGCAUGAGAAAAAUUUAAGGAGUUACUUAGGAGAUGUCCUCAUCAUGGUAUUCCUUACUGCAUACGGUUGGAAAAAUUCUAUAAUGGUCUCAACUCAAGCACUAAAUUGAUGGUGGACGCUUCAGUAAAUGGAGCCUUGUUAUCUAAGUAUUACAAUGAGGCUUAUGAAAUUUUGGAGAGGAUAACCAACAAUAUCUAUCAAUGGCCAUUAACUAGACAAGCUGUAGCAAGAGGAAUAGCAAGAGUCCAUAACGUAGUUGCCUUAACAAUACUGUCAACCCAAAUAACCUCAUUAACAAAUAUGGUGAAAGUUAUGACCACUGCUCCAGCAACCGUAAACCAAGUUGCUGCAGUAUCAUAUUUUUAUUGUGGAGAAAGGCACUUAUUUGGCAAUUGUCCUGGAAAUCCAGCGUCAAUUAACUAUGUGGGCAACUUCAAUAGACAGAACAAUUAUCAUUCUCAACCAAAAUAUGGAAUUUUUACCUAAGAUAUCUCUAGGGUAUGAAAAAAUUAUAUUAUAACUAAUAUUAACAUAUAUUAGUUUAUUCUUAAUUCUAAAAGAAUAAUACAACAAAAUUAUACAAUAAAAAAAAUGAGAUGAUUAGGACAUCGUAACAAAAAUCAUCUAUAUCUUCUAACACCAUCACAUGACCGAGAUUCAAAAUAUAUCUACACUCGUUGGGUCGAUUCGGUGUACCUGUAACUUCAUGUUGGGGGGGAAUAUAAUAAAACAGAAUCAGUAUAAAACUCAAUGAGCUCAGUGAGUGGGUAGUAAUUUUUGAAAACACAUUUUUACUUUAAAAGAAAUAAUCACAUCAUUUCCAUACAUGUUUUCAUCAAACCAUAUGCGAGAAACCACUAGUAAAUCAUUUAAUAUUUAAAUCAUAUCACUAACCUUGAAGAGCAUAUUUAAUAUCGUACAUAAUAACCAUGAAAAAUCAUAUUACAAUAUCAUGUAAAAUACAUAAAUCUGAAAUCAUCAUUAAACAAGUGCCCAAGGGAAUAAUCUCGUCGUAUUCGGACCUCAACGUACGGGCAACGACGUACUAUCUAGGUACUGUCAUUCCCUAGAGCUACGUGUAUAGACAGGGAAGUGCCAUCUUAUAUCUCAUCGUAUCUGUACAUGCACAAUCUAGUCCCAAAAGGACAAAAACACCCAAUCACACGGCCCAAAGCCUCUAUGUGUACUCAGAUGGGCCCUAAAGGCUUAUAUCUCAUCUGUAUCAUCUGUAUCUGUAUCACUGUUAUCAUCAUAUCAUAUGCAUAUGCCCCCAAAGGUAGAAGCACUCAAACACACGGCGCAAAGCCUUUAUGUGUGUUUAGACGAGCCCUAAAGGCCUAAUCAUAUAUGUAUCACUAUAACCGGAGAAAGGGUAUUGUCCAAUGAUUUGGUAAACAACCUUUUAUACACAUAUACAUAAACAUAUAAUCACAUCUGAAAUCUCAUUUCUUUUUUUUUUAAAUAUGAUCAUGCAUAUAUUCAAAAUCGAUAAUAAAAUCAUUAAUCAUACACAUCUUUAAUAAUAAACACCAAUACACAGAUUAAUCAAUUUAUAGAAAAAUCAUUAAAUCAGAGCCUUUAAAACUUAUCUCGUAAACGUGCCUUACCAUAUUUUAAAAUCAUAAUAAACUAUAAAGAAAAUAUGUUUUGUAUAUUCCACUUACAGUGACGAUGUUCAGACUCGGUUAUCGUCCACGUUCGCUGAUUGAUUCUCGCUCACGGAUGCUCUUAAAUCAAGGAAACGACAUAAUUAAUUUUGGUAAUUCAAAAUUACAUAUGAAUUUAUGCAAUAAACUCGAAAUGAACAUCUAUCCAUAAUAUACAACUCCCAUGUCGAUAAAAUUAUUAAAAUACCCUUCAAUCCGUACAUCAUUAAAAUAAUCUGAAAUAAAAAAUCACCGAAUUACCCUCGGAAUCGUAAUUACAACCAAUCCUCAAUUUUAGAAAUUACUAAAAUCUUUACAGGGUCAAAAAUUACAAAUUGCCUUCAAAUUAUGAAAUUAUCGAAUUGCCCUCGCCGGUCAACGGUAACCAGAAGUUCAGGUUAGACACUUCUGGCCGAGCCGAGUUCAAUUGUAUUGACGGUGAGCUCGCACGUGCCGUGACGGUGCCAGAAUCUAGCUCGACAACUGUGUAACUCUAAUUGCUAAACCACGGUAAAUCGACAGCUUUCGGUAAUUGUGGAUGGUCGGAAAAUCAAAAAGGAGUUAUGGGGAACAAAACCUAGCUGGUGGUGUCACCCCAAACUGGUAGAAUCGACGUCGAGAUGGGGUGAGUUUUACUGUCGCUUAUUGAGCUAAAACAUCGACGUUCUGGCCGUUAAUCGGUGACUGUGAUGGCUGGGAUACAACUAUUGGUCUUUAAGCUUUAGAUUGGUAUUAAGCUUGGCAGGUGGGGUGGUCGAAAUCACGAGAUUUGACCGGGUCACUUUCAAGGGUGGGGUCAGGUUUUGGGUCAUUUUACAACUUUUCUCACUCUCUCAUAUGUGUGUAUGUGUUCCCCUGUUUCAAGCUUCUUCUUUUAUUUUUAUUUACCUUUUAACCGCCUCAUUUGUUUUUCAACAUAUGUUACAAUCCUCCCUACUUAUAAAAAUUUCAUCCUCGAAAUUUACGUACUUGAUAAAAAAAGAUAGGGAUACUGAGCUUGCAUUAAGUCCUUGCGGUCCCAGGUAGCCUCUUCCUUUGUGUAAUUCCUCCAUAAUACUUUUACUAGCGGAAGGGUCUUAGAGCGUAGAACUUGGUGUUUCCCUUCCAGUAUUUUCACUGGUUCUUCUUCGUAAGUCAAGUCUUCUUUCAAGUGAAUAUGUUGCUUCGAUAACACAUGCUUGGGUCAUAUAUGUACUUUCAGAGCAUUGAAACAUGAAACACAUCAUGGACUAUGGAUAACUCGGGCAGUAGAGCUAAUCGAUAAGGUAACAGACCAAUGCACUCUAAGAUCUCAUAUGGCCCAAUGUAACGUGGGCUUAGCUUCCCCCGCUUCCCAAAUCGAAGUACCCCUUUCCAAGGAGAUAUCCGUAUGAAAACUCUAUCCCUAACUUCGAAUUCAAGUUCCCAUCUACGCUUGUUUAUAUAACUCUUCUGUUUAUCUGCAUCAUUAUCAACAACAACAACUUUCUCCGCAAAGGAGGGAUUAGAUUCAUCAAACGUAACAUGUAUAGAUUCUUCCACAACUAAAGUUCUUUUGUUAUAAACUCCAUAAGCUUUGCUUGAGUUUAAAUACCCAAGAAAGGUGCCAACAUCGGAUUUUAGAUUAAAUUUGCCAAGAUUAUCCUUAGUGUUUUGCAUAAAAAAACUUUGAAACAACCAAUGAUGGGUUUUCUAUCUUUCUAAAGCUCAUAUGGAGUUUUAUUGAGAUGAGGUCUAAUCAAUACACGAUUUAAAAACUUUGAAAAUUGAUGCACAAUGCCUAAAUUGUUGCAAAAGGUUUCAAAGGCAUGAUUUUCAAACUCUCAUUCGUGAUCACUUCUAAUGCAUGCAAUACCAUAUCCUUUUUCAUUUUGAACUUUUUUACAAAACACUUUAAAAACAUCAAAAGUAUCAUCCUUAUUAGCUAAGAAUAAUAUCCAUGUAUAUCUUGAAAAAUCAUCAACAAUUACAAAAUCAUAAUACUUCACACUCAAGCUAGCAUACCUUGAAGGUCCAAAUAAGUCUAUGUGAAGUAGUUCAAGAGGUUUUGAAGUAGAAAUAUGAUUUUUGCUUUUAAAAGAUGUUUUGAUUUGUUUACCAAAUUGAGAAAACGACGUCGUUUUAAGAAUCAAUUUUUGUUAAGAUAGAUGAGCUACUUUCUUCACGCAAUGAUGCCGUUUUGAGGACCAAUUUUUGGCUUUAACUUCAUCCAAUAGGAUAGAAGCAAAGAAAACAUGAAUAAGGCAAGACAGAAACUUGAUACUUUAAUUCAAUAAACAAAAACAAUAAAAAUUAAAAAAAAUUAAUUUUGUGUCUUUUAGUUCCAAGAAUGAAGUUCAUCACCAACAGUACAGACUCUUCUUCUCAAGCACUUGAAUUAGUCAAAUGUCUUUGGGAAGAAAUAUCAGAAAGCACACACGAGGACGUCUUGAAACUUAUCAGCAACCCUUCAAAUUUAUUAUUCGAUGCAGCUCACUCGAGGAAUUUCAAAUUCUUGGUUGUGCUCAUUCGCUCUUAUCCUGAUUUGGUUAAUGAAUUAGAUGAAGAAAGUCGAAGCAUUGCAGUCAUGCACCGUCAUGCAGAGACUUUCAAACUAAUAUAUUUGUCAUUAAGAUUUUAUUUGUCAAAAAUCUUAGCCAGCACAGCACCGUUGCAGCGACGAUGGCGACAACAAUGAGUUUCUUGUUGAGACUCCUCUGCAUACCCACAACCUCCACAAUCCUCUCAAAAUGCCAACUCCGUAAACCCCACCUCAAAAUGCAUACCCACUCCAUCGGCUCUUCUUCUCUCACAAUUUCUCCUCUCUCGCUCUCACACCCACAACAAUCACUACUAAAGCCUUCACCCCAACUCUCUCUUCCCCACAACCGCAGGACCAACAAGAAGAGCAAGAGCAAUAGUUGGUCCUCAACUUGUACUUGAGGACCAAUUUAACCGUGCGUUUUUGGCAGAAGGCAAACGGUGCGUUUUUAACUUAAUAAAACGGUGCGUUUUUAAUUUAAUAAAACGGUGCGUUUAGUUCGGGGUUUGACUCGGGAUUUGACUCGGGGCAAACAUCAUUUUCCUUAGCAAAAAUAAUAUUAACCGUUUGAAUCCGAAAAUAAUUUUGCAGGUUUUGAACAUGCGUGUGAACGAGGAACCACGUGGUGCUCUCCGAUCGGCCCGGGCAGAGCAAUUCAAGAGAAGGUAACGUUAGUAUUUGUUUAUAUUAAUUAUUCAUAAUGAUAAUAGUAAUGGGUCUUUGAUAGCAGUUCUUUUGUAUUGAUCUUAUCUUUGAGCUUUUGUAUUCUGAUUUAUUGAGAAUUUCGCUAAGAAAAAAAUAUUUUAUUAAAUAAUUUAGAAUCUCUAUGAAGAAAAUAUUUUAUUAAAUAAUCUAGAUAUGUUUGUGGUUUCUGUAUCUUAUUGGAAGUUUGUGAGUGAAAAUAAUACUAGACGUGUUUAACACGAAGAUUAUAUGAUGUUCUUUAAUGUUGACGUAGAAAUUUGGUUACCUAAAAGAUUCAAUAGAUGUGGGCGAUAUAAUAAAAGUGGUACAUAAUUUUAUUUAAUUCAGCACUUAGGCUAUGUAAAUACUGACCAUAAGAAGAAAAUAAAUGCUUUUACUAUUGAAAGAAAGUUUACAAUCAUAUAUAUAUAUUUCUUCAUUAUUUAUAGCACCGGAAGAUAACAAUUAACAGAAAACUCAAAUUGAAACUCAUUUUGAUUAUCUCUAUCCCAUUGGGAUGAAUAUGAUGUUACAAUUCGAUCUCUAUUGCUACUAAUAUCUUAUUUUCUUUAAUUGAACUUAAAUCAAGCUUCUGCAUUCUUCCAUAUAUCAACCAAAAGCAAGCUUCAGGGCUCUUUCAACCUGGUUGCUGAACUAAAAUCGAAGCAAGCUCCUAAACUAAAAAAUAAGUUUCUAGGCCCUUUCAGCCCAAUUGCUGAAUUAAACUCAAAGCAUGCUCUUGCAGUCUUCCAUCUGCCUGCUGAGCUAAAACCAAUGCGACAAUCUCCUUGUCCUCCGGGACUCUUCCAAUCCAGAAGCUGAAUCAAAAUUUUCACAUCACUGGUCGCCAUGACAUCAUCCUCUGUUUUGUUAUCAAUUUCUUUUCAACUUUUCAUAUUUAUUGUUUCAAUAAGUUAGGAUAGUGAUAAAAAAAUUUCAAUUUUUUUAACAAAUUAGUUUGUCAACAUAUUAUUGUUGGAUAAUAUUCAUACGCAUCGACUUCAUUAAAUAAAUCGAAUUUUAUAUUAUUAUCCACUUAAUUGUUUAUUACCACAUUAGUUUAUACAUCCAUAAAAAGUUUGUACAAGUAUCUAUAUCGCUAUCGAUAUAGGGAUUGUAUGAUUUUUUAAAUUAAUAGGAUCGCAUGAUUAUUUUUUAAUCAUUAAUCCAACUAAUUUAAUUUAAUUAAUAAAGGAAAUUGUACACAGAAGGAAAGUCGGCUUAAUUCUAAAUAAAGUGAAAAGCCCGGAAUAAGCACGUUUCACUUUUUAAUGAAAGUAAAUUUAAAAUUUUAUGAUUUUACUAAUAAUUUAAAAUUGAAUUUUUUAAAUUCAUUUAAUUCUUAGUUUAAAAAAAAUACUAUAAUUGAUUUGUGUUUAUAAUUUAUUAAAUAAAUAAUUGAUAUCAUGAUUUUAAUAAAUAAAAUUAUAAAUAUCAUGAUUUUAUAAAUAUGUAUUAAUAUUAUUGUGAAGUAUGAUCUAUGACUCUAUAUAAGUCUAAGUUAACAAUCAAGUUAACUCUCAAGAAAAAAUUAUUAUUAUUGUUGUUGUUAAGUAUUAAAAAAGAAUUAUAAUACCAUAAGGUCAAAUUUAGUAAUUAAUAUAAUAUUAUCUUAUUAUUAUUAGUUUAUUAUUAUUAAAAAUGGACUUGAGUUUUGAAUUUUUGAUUCUAUUAAAUUUGAAUAAAGGUACAUGGACCCAAAAAAGUAUAUGGCUUGAAAAAAGUACACGGACAACUUGGCAUGCGCUCUUAAAAAUAGGGGUGGGCACGGUUCGGUUCAGAUUGAGAUUGAGCAGAACUUAUUAAAAUUGGUUAUUUUAUAAAAAGAACGGAUUAAGAACCGAAUACAAUAAAGAAUCAAAUAUGAAUCGAUCCAUUCGGUUUGGUUCGGUUUAUUUUUUUGGUCCUAGGUCUAUUGGACCUAUUUUGAAUUUCCAAAUUCUUAGCCCGUUGGGCCUCAUUAAUGGAGUAAUUUUCUUGGCAAUCAAUUCUUCAUAGUUUCAUUACAAAUACUAACAAUGAACACAAAGUAUUCAAAACACACUUAUCAUUACUGUCUAACUAACUACUACUAACAAAAUAUGAAAUAUUAAGAUUUAAGAAUACAAAUCUAGACUCCAAUGAUCCAUUUAAAUAAACAUAAAGUUGUAAAGACAAAUAAAAAUAAAAAUAGUCACAACACAAAAUAAAAAUAAUAGUCAUGUGUGAGCAUGUCUAUUGUAAUCAUUUUGCAUAGCCAAUUAACAUUAAACACAUUUCACGAUUUGGUAAAAUUACAAAAACAUUGCAGUUUUUCGGUUCAGUUGGGUGAACCAAAAUUCGAACCAAUAUUUCAGUUUUUUUCUUAUAAAUCGGAUAUUCAUAAAAAUUAAAACCGAUCCGAACGUGAACAUAACCGCUGGUUCGGUUCAGUUUUUCCUAAGCCUCAUUUCUUUCGCCCAAUGCUACUUAAAAAAAAUAAAAAAAAGGAAAAAGUCCAUUGGGCUUUUUUUCUUAGGUACGACACGAUAUGGCCCAUGGCACGACACGUGUGCCGGGCUAGACCUAAGCAAAAGAAAUUAGGUAUGACACGACACGGUACGAAACACAUAGUCGGCACGACAUGACAUGAGCACGAGCAUACAUGGACCUUCCUUUGAUGGCUGGCUCGACCCAUUGGCCAUCUCUAGUCAUAAAUAUUUGAUUUGAACAAUCAUUUCUCGAUUUUCCUUUAGUAAAAUUAAACUUUAGGAAAGAUAUGACGGUGAUGAUUUAUCACAAUGUAUGAUAGAAUACCAUAUAAAACAAUUCAAGUAAAAUAGAAAUUAGUAACCUAAUUUCACAAGAUGAACUCAAGGAUAAGAUUAAUUAGCCUUUAAGUAUGAUAGAUUAGAGAAAGCAUGAGCCAUGAUGCUAGGGUUUUUUUUUUUUCCAAAUUUGUCCAUGUCUUCCUCAUAUAAUACCAUCCGUGCUUCUACUCCUUCACCAUCACUUGUGUAUGAUAAAAGGCAGCGUUAGGUAAUGACAUCGACCAGAGACUAAACCAAACAUGCUUCCCCCAACCAACAUCAGCUUCUUAAUAAAGCAAUCCAACCACACUAGUCAAAUUAAAUGACUUUGAAUCUUCCAAUGCUUUAUUCGUAUCUUUCAUGAAACCUAAGUAUUCAAUAUUAUUCAUCACAUUGCUUACCUUUCUCUUUGCUUUGAUCACGUUUUCACUAAGCUUGUUAGCUCUGUGUCAUCAUCCUCGGCUAUUGACCAUUCUGCCCUUACAAAGCAAAAAAUGUUACUUAUGCAUUGUGGAAUCAUUGGCGGAUCUCUGCAAAUUCAUAGUAUAAUAGAUUGCAUGAGAGUAAAACUUGUUAUUAAUUGCUGUUUUUCUUUCUCGAGCAAUAGUAAUGAAAGCACCCUAAAUGAGUGAUGAAACAACCAUGAGAUGUGACGCUUGUAACUCAUUAGCAAAACUGCCUGUCAUUAUUUCUUUUUUCAUAUUCUCUUUUAGAACUGUUAUUUUCUUGCCAUCAGAAAACAACCUUUUGAACACUACUUUAGAUGUUAAUUGUGGCUUUAUGUGCUGAUCCUUUAAUGAAUUGUGUGAUGGAAACAACAAGGAGCUAUGUAAAACGACAUUAUUGCAAAUAUUUUCAUUUAUCCCAGAUUGAUCUCAAUUCACAAUUUCAUGAAGUUAGAAAUUGUUGAAUCAUUUGCCAAUCCGGGCCAUAUAUAAAUACCAAUUGUCAUGUCGCUGCUGUUGAACUAAUUUGCUUGAACAGCCAAAAGCUUUCUUUCAGAAGGUUUGCGACUUUGUGAACGACCUUUUGUUGUCAAUGCCUCUACAGCUGUAUUGUUGUGAUCUUUUCUAUUUUUUUUUUGUCUCAGAGUUAUACAACUCACUACAUACAACAUUGAUUGUGAUAUUGUUCUUCAUAUGAAGCAAAGUGGUGGUGAGAUGAUCAUAUUCAUUAGGAAGGGAAUUUAACAGCAACAAUGACUUUUCUUUAUCUUUAAAUUUCUCAUCCAGAUUUAGAAAAUCCACUAAUAUCCUGUUAAAUGAGUUUACAUGGUCAUUUAUCAACAUGUCAGGUGCAUACGUGAAUCGAUAAAGUUUUUUCUUCAUUUAAAUCCUAUUUUCAAGGUUUUUCUUCAUGUACAUUUCUUCCAGCAUAUGCCAUAAUUUCUUUGCUGAUAUCUGCCUCAUAACAGAGUAUUUCUAAUCUUUAGGCAGACAUAGGCGAGAAGUGCCAUAUGCUUGUUUAUUGAUCUUUAUCCACUUCUUGUCAUCUAUCUUGUCAGGUUUUUCUUUAAGAGUGAGGUCCAACUCUUGCUGAUAUAAGACAUCCAACACCUUACAUUCAAAUUUCGCAUUCGUCACAGUAGUCUUUGUUGAGAAAGAUGAAGAUGAUGCCUCUACCAUCCCUUUUUUUUUAAUUACCUAACCCGAACGAACAAUGUCUACGUGUCUAUUUAUGUAGAUAAUGCACCACGAAAGUUCUCAGGAGAAUGGAGGGUCUCAAUGGUCCCACUUGAAAUUUCUCAGACAUGCAUUUAUCCACACAACUACAUUGUGGGCUCCUGAUACUCCCAAGUACAGACUGUUGGCUCCACCGUAUUCGUGAACAAUACAAUAUAUGUGAACAAUAUUGUAUAUGUGAACAAUGCCGUUUACCUCAAGUAUGAACCAUCUGCUAUGAUAUCAAUUGUUACAGAAGUGCGGGUUGAGUAGUUACUAAUAUUAUGGUGAUUGCGACUUGUGGAUAAAUAUAAUUGUAGUGAUAAAUAAAUGCAACGAAAAUAGGACACAAUAAUUUACAUGGUUUGGCGUAAAGUCUGUCUAUAGAUAAAGACUAGAAGAUAAUUUCACUAAUAAAUGAGAAUUUACAAAAGUGAGAAAAACUCUCAAAAUCCAAAAACCCAAAAACCCAAAAUGAAAAAAACAACCAAUUGUAUUUUCACUAAAAUACUCAAGUAAAAACUUUCUCAAAUCUCUCAAAUUACUUCACUUACAAUUGCUUUAAAAAAUAUGGGACGCUAACAAGUGCAAAAUGCUUCUAUAUUUAUAGAGAUCAUUUUGCACCGGCCAGCCAAAUUGAGGCAUUGAACAAACUUGACCAAUUGAUGAAAUUGGCUAAAUUAUGUCCUUGAAAAUUCAGCUUUGGUAGGCACCGAAUUCGGUGCCCAACAAGCUGACUUUUCAACACACAGUCAACAUUGUCAAAGUAUUUGGCUGCAGCUUCUAGAAGCUACAUCUAGAAGUGUUGAUGCAGCAAAUGUUGAAGGGUUAGGCAUCGCCAAGGAAGAAAAAGAAGGAAGAAUGAAGAAGAUGUUGCAGAAGUUGAUCUUGACAAAUGAUGGUUGGAACGCCAAAAUGGAAGAAAGAAAAAGGUUGGAACACGGCUUUGAAGAAGCCAUGAGAAGAAUAAAGAAAAUAUUAAAAUAAUAGCCAAUUUUGGCUAUAUAAGGGAAGCUCCCCAUUUCUUUGUUUGCAUCCAAUCCUCGGUUUCUCUUCUUCAUUCAGAGAGUGUUUCUUUGGGGUGUAUUUGGGGAUUAGGUGAGAGAAAAUUAUUUCUGAGAGAGUGGUUGUAAUAAUUUUCCACAUAGUGAAUAUUUUUUCUCUGGUUGUCUUUUUGACAACGGCCGUGGUUUUUCUCCGGAUUUAGAGUUUUCCACGUAAAUCUUGUGUUGUGGGAUUGAUAUUAUUUUUCUUGUUAAUUUGUUACUUGACAAAUUGCUUGGAGAGAUCCUGGGAGGAAGCUCAAUUACCUAACAAACAUUAGCUUCAAUAAAUGCGGCCCUUUGAUCAUUACAAUCGACUGAAAAGCUAUCAAUCAAUCUUCCAACAAAACGAUAAUAGUGGGUCAAUGAUUUUGGGAGAGGUUGCUUCAACAAAUCGGAUUUUUUUUUCCCCAAAAUCUUGGUGGUUACAAUUGGCCGAGUAGAAGAAAACUAGGGAAAUGUAAACAUCAGAAUAAGUUUGAUCAAUCAAUGAAAGUUUAUAGGUUCUAAGAUGUUUUUCCGUUGGAAAUGAAGAUUUGACUCUUUCGGUGGAAAUGAUUUGAACAUUAGAAGCGACACUUUUGAUAUUGGUGACCAAUUUGGAAGCAGUUGGUCGGAAAAUGUUUUUGAGAAUCACUACCAUUUCUUGCUGGCUUUGAGAAAUUAUUCACCAAAGUGAGUGUUGAGUGGCCUACUGUGUGUGCUGCCUUAUCUAUCAUAUUUAUUAUAAGGUGGGUUUUUUUUUUUAAAUUUAAAUGAAUUAUUAUUAUUUUUUAAAUUUGAAUGAAUCUGAAUACAAAUAUCUAAAUGAUGAAUUUAUUUUUUUAUUUUUUAUAUUUGAAUAUAGGUGGCAUUUUGCUUGUUUUUAUAAAUAAAAAACAUAUUAAACAUGGUUAUUUGACAUUUAUUUCUUUAUAAAUUAGAAAAAAUCUUAUAAUUCAGCAAAUAAGUGUAUUUUUAGAGAUAUUUUUAGAAUAUAAUAUUUAUUUCUUAUUCACGCCUUUUUUUCAUUUAGAUAAAAGUCACAAAAGUUAUAUUUUUUCUAUUCUGAUGUAAAUUUCUUAAAAAUCAAACAUAAUUUACAAAAAAAAGCAAAACUUAAAAAAAAUGAAAUUAAUAAAACUUCAUAUUCCAAAUGUUUAACAAACAAGCGAAGUUUCUUGCAUAAUUAUAUAAUUACUCGUGAUAAGAUUGGAACUCCAAGAUAAUAAAGAAAAUAAAAACAAAUUGGCUAAAAAGAUAGAAAUCAACAAAAGAAGGUGAUUAGAAAUAUGGAUAAAACAUAAUAUUAUCAGGAAAGACGGGCUUCAAAAUAAAUAAUUUCAAUAAUAGACAAUAAUAACAAAAUUCUCCCCCUUGCGUUGAAGUCUGAAUAUGCCGGUAACAAAAAGAUCAGAUUGAGAGAUAUCAAAUUUUAAUACUUCUUGUUACUUAUUAUAUAAGAGCAUAUGUUUAGUAUAUGGAAAGAAGGGAAAUUAAUGAAUAAAAUAAAAUAAAAUCCGUUGGCGAAUUCGAUGAAUCCCAAAGCUGCGCAUAUAUAUUUAGUUUAUUAAAAUUUGCACAACACUUAUAUAUUCUAUGAAAGUAACAUAAUAUUAAAGAUUAGUCCAUAAAUAUACUAGUUAUUUUUUAUUUUAACGUCACAAGAAUAUUAAUUAGCAAAAAAUAACUUUUGUAUCUUUCAGGGGAUAAGUCGGGUUGGUUUGCCCCCUCAUAGUGAGAACAAAGGUCAUAGGAACAGGAUCAUUUUCCCCUCGCACCAACCUUGGAAAAGAAAAUUAUUUAAUUGAUAUUUAUGUAUAGGAUGGGAUGUGAAAUUAAAUAAAAAAACCGUAAAAAUAACUUUUGAUACUUUUGUUGAAAUUUGAAUUGUAUAUGCAUACAAGGACAUAAAUAUAUACGUAGAGGCUUCAAAAUUUUUUAUAUUCAAUUUUGAUUAGGUAGAGGACCAAAAAAAUCAAUUUAUAGUGUUCAGCAUGAAUAAGUAAACUAGGAAUAACACAGCUUGGACCUACCAAAUUAUCAUGUGAUAAUGAUAUUUUUACCUUAAAGAGACGUCUAAGAUAAAUUUUUUACAGUAAAAUUUUUAUUUUAUUUUAACAACACGAGAUAAAAAGAUUAUGUUAGAAGCCUUAAAAGCUAGUUAAUCUUAAAUUUUUUUUGAAAGAUAAUUCUCCCAUAAUCCAUUAAUUUAAGUUAUUAUUCAUUCUUUAAAAUUUUAAAUUUAAGUUUCAUUCUUUACAACUUUAAAUUUAAGUAAUAGAAUAAAUAUUAUACAAUUUAUUUCUUUUCAUGUUAAGUAAAUAAUUGAGAUUAUAUUUUUCUAAAUAUUAUCUCACCUCCAUAUAUGUGAUGAGGUAUGAGUAAUUUUACAUAAUUUCAAAGUUGCAUAUAGAAAUCUAUUAUUUUGAAAAUAUUAUUUAUAAACUCUAUAAUAAAACUUAAAUUACCGUUCAAGUACUUAUUUGAUAUUUAUUUAUUUUCAUUUUGAUAUUGUCAAAAUUUAUAUAAAACUUUGUCCAAUUUUGCAUUAAACUAAACGCAAGAGAACAAUAUUGUAAUCCAAUUGGUAUUUUAAGUAAAUGGAUGUGGAGAGUAUUAUAGCAAGUUAAAAUAAUCCAUCUAUAUUUUUAAUACUUAAUUAUGUUUAUUUACUAAGUCACCAUUGAUCCUUUUAAAGAUAAUAAAACAUUUUAAUGGACUUAUGUGCAAAAUUUUGAAAACUAACCUUUCUUUAUAAGUUUUAGAAAAAUGAGGGGCUGCAACAUUAAUGACCAAGUAAUUAAAUCCUUACCAUUGGAAUAGCUUUUGUAACUCUUGGGUUGAAUCUAAUGGUUGGAUCACAAAAAGACAAAAAAUGAAGUACGAAAUCACGGUUGGAUAGUAGCUGGACCCCAAACGAUAACCAUUAAUUGCAAAAUAUGAUAGAUGUAAAUAUAUCCUUAAAAGCUUAGCAAAAGCUCUAUUAAGUACUGGAUUAUAAUAUGAAUUUAUAUAAUGUUUGAAAAAUAAAACUAAAAAUUAUACAAUUGAUAUGAUACUUGGUAAUUUGAUUCAUAUUUUAAGAUUGAGUCAAUCAAUGUUGAUGAUAAUUAAUCAAUAUUUAUAAUGAUUUAUAAAGAUAGAGAUAAUAAUAAAUUGUUUUGAUUUAUAAUUUUGUUUCUAUCGUUGUCUGGUUAUUUUCAUCAAUAGCUUCCGUGUGUGAUGUGUCCAAAAUCAAUUAAUUUGGUCCCCUUUUCAUGUCUAUUUUGUCUUAUAUUCUUCGUUGUAUAAUUCUUUAAGAAGUAAUGCUAAUUAUGGGGUUUUUUUUUGACUUAAUAAUUUAAUUGACGUACAGUUAGUUAAUCCAUUAAGUCUAUUUGUGUUUUUAACUUAAUGAAAAUUUUCAAUCGUUAAGUUAUUAAGUUAUUAAGAUAUUUUUUUAGCUAUUUUCUUAAUCUUAAAACUCUAAAUGAUCUCACUGAAAGAUAUUCUCAAAAAAUUACUAUAUAAUUAACUAAUUUUUAUCCUUAUCUAAAUAAAAUUUAAUAAUUAGUAUUAUUAUCGAUCUCUAUAACUUGUGAUAAUAUAGUAGCUGACUAUUAUUAUUUAUCCUUUUAUUUUCUUCAAAUUAGCUAUAUUUAUCUUUAUAAUUUUUUAUAAAUAUUUUUCAUAUAAAAAGAUCAUAAACUACGAUAAAAUUAAUUAACAUAUACUAUUUUAGAAAAGGUUCUAUGAAUUAAACAUAAUUUAUAUAUUGAUAAUGUAUUAUCUUAUUUAAGUUCUUUGAGAUGUUUAUAAUUUGUAAGGACAUAAAUGUAAAAAUACUAGUUUUUAAAAUUUUUGAAGUUAAAAAAAAGUUUAAUAUUUAUUUUUAGCAAUUCAAAUUUAGACAUUUAGUUAUAUUCAGAAUUCAGAUCAAUUUAGUUCUAUUCAGAUUUAGACAAAAAAUCUAAUGCCACCUAUGUCUCUCUACCUAAGUCUUAUUUGAUUAUCUUUAUUUAAAAACAAAUUCUCGUUCGAUUGAUGUUUGCAGGAAUCAUCAAGAGCUUUUUGUUUUGCUAGUUUAAGUCUUUAAGACGUUGGAUUAGCUAUGUAAAUAUUCUUCGAAACCACGCUUACGAGUUAUGAUGCUAUUAUUAGAAAUUUGCAGGACAAUGCUAGCGGCAUGACAAUUACUCUAUGGCGACUUGUUUACAGGAUUUAUUAGUUGUGAAGUGAGUAUACGAAAUAUGGAACUCGACGGUCGAGAUUAGAGCUUUUACGAUAACUGCCAACAAAAUAUGCAAACGGCACCAAAAUGUAUUCAGAAGAAAAGCAUUUUUAAUGUAUCUUCCGUAAACUAAUAAAGCAAGAUAUCUUGUAUGAGAAGUACUACUCACUGAUAAAUUUGUAAAUUAUCUUAUGGUUGACAAGUGGGUACCUCCUUAUUUCUCUCUUGAGGUUGAGGGUUGGAGUCCUCUCAUUUACGUAGUAGGUUGAUUUUCUUCAAAAAAAUUUAAAAGUAGAUCCAAUGUGUUUGGGACCAUAUAUCUAGGCUCUACCAUCAUAGAGUUGGUUGACAAUAUUUUAAUAGGAUUGUAAUUGUAAAUAGCAGUAGAGUAUAAUAUCAUUCAAAAAAAAAAAACAACAAAUUAUUGGUGCUUGCACUAAAUAUACUAGUUAAUUUUAUUCAAUAAUAAAUAAGCUUAAAAUAAUUAUAAGUAAUGCUACAAAUGUAGUUAGGAAAUAGGAACAAUGACCAGAAUUAAGGCCAAUGCUUGUUACUUUAGUCUAUCAAGCAAUAGCCUUACUCUAUCUAAUAAUUUUUCCCCCUCAAAUUAUUACUACUAUAAUGCCUACCAUACUAUAAUAGUAAACUCUUGGUCCUUAAGUCUUAAGACAAUCCAUCUACUUGUCGUAAAAAAAUAAAGACAACAUAUAUUUAUAAUUCAAAUAAUUUAUCAUCAUACUAUGAAUAUAACCCUAUUAUUUUUUAAUUAUAUAUACGCAACUUAUGUAUUUUUUUAAUUUGAAAAUUCUCAUUUAAAAUAUAUGAGUUGUUAACAUGGACAAAACCAUCGACUUACAACUAGGAAUAAAUAAAUUAAAGUCAAUACUCGUUAACUUCUACAUAUUUCAUGCAACAUCAUCGUCUUCAGUGACACUAAGGUUAUAAUAGAAAAAGACCAAUAACUCAAUAGCAUGCAAAUUAUAUAUUUGAGUGACAACAAUGUUAUAAUAGAAAAAGAAUAAAAAAACUUUUUUUUUUAAUUAUUACAUUUUCUAACAUUGGGGUUGUACUGAGAAAUUAAAAAAAUUAGGGACCUAAGUGCAAACGUGAGAAACAUAAAUAUUUAUCUUUCUACCUUUGAAUUUUCUAAUAUACAACACAGUGAAAUUGCUUCUUGAACAACUGGACUUUUAUUUUUAUUUUUUAAAUUAAGUUCAGGGAUGAGUAAAGUCUAAAUGAAUUUUUAUCCCCCCUGUCUCUUUCAGGUGACCAGUCAAAUAAAUGAGAAAUUUUAGAAUAGUUUGAGGUAUCAUAUUAGUCAAACAACAAAUAAAUAAUAUUAUGACAUGUAUGCAUUUAGUUUGAAGAGCCAGAAUGCAAUUGGUGGUUAUAUAAAAUUCAACUACAUGUUUCAUACAUACAUUAAUUGUUUGUAUUAUUUCUAAUGUUUUAUAGAAUUUCUCUAAAUAAAGUUAUUUGAAAACCAUUCUACCAAGCCUUUGAGGGAAAAAAAAACAAAUGUUACUUGAACCAUUAAACUUAAUUCAACCAUAAAUGUUUGAUUUGAACGUCCCUUCAAAAGGUUGGGACUUUUUUAAUUGACUUAUUUUAAUAGCUUAAUUGAUAAAUUUCAAAUUAAAUUGGAAGAUUAUAAUAUGAAACUCUUGGAAUUUUCAUAAGUUAAUCAGAAGGGAAAAUGAAGGACAGAUCGAUCAUUUCUGGUAAAAAAGUCUUGUGCAUGUCCUUAGAUGAUCCCAACAGUGUAUAUUCAUUUUCCUUUAUCAUUAACCAUCAAUUAUUUCUGCAUAUUUGUUAUCAUAAAAUUCGGAUAAAAUAAUCGUUGAUUCCUUUCAAUCAAACGGAAGCUUCCUUUGUAUGUUUUUGUCGAAGUCAAAUGAUCAUGUUGUUUUCACAUGCGUAUGCAUUGAACCAUUGUAAUUAACAAAGUGUAUCAAUUUUCAAUGAGUCAAUUAAGGUGGGACUGAAAAACUCUAUUAAACUUGUGGGAGUGGAACCGACAUCACACGUUUACAACAAUUACUAGACACAUAUAAUCUAUUUUUGAAAUUCAUAACACUCUCAAUAAUUUAGUUUAACAAAUAUUUAACUUCUUUUUAUCUAAUUUCUUAUCUCAUCAGCACUGCGGAAGUGGAUUAUUUCAUAAGCAGCAGCAAUCCAAAAGUAUCCCUAAAUAAAUAAUUUUAUUCAAUAUUAGGAUUUGUUCGCCAAUGACUGGCUUUAGAUUUUUACAGUAAAUAAAAUUACUAUAAAAUUUAAUUAUAUGUACGUUAAAUUUUUAUGAAAUUCUAAAAUCAAUUUUGGGGGUUUGUAUAAUAAAAGAGUAUAAUAGUAAAAAAUAGUUGUCUUUAAAAUAGUAUCUCUUAUUUGUAUAUUUGAGUAAAUUUUAUAGGGAGUUUAGAUGUCUUUUUCGCAGUGCAUCAACUUUCAUUUUAUGUGUCAAGUACAAUUUAUAUUUUUUUAUUUAAUUAACUCACACACAUUAGUGAGGCUCGAACCUAAAAUAUGAGUCUUUCAGAGACCAUUUUUUACCAUUGAAACUAGACCUUGCCGUCUAAUGUCAAAUACAAUACGAGAUCAAUAAAAUUAAUUUAUCUUAUAUAUAUCCCAGCAAGUUUUAUAGUCCAUGGCCCAAUUUCAACUCUUCUAUCAUUUUCUACAUGUAGCUAUAAAAAAAAGGAGUUAUAGUGAAAAGAUGAACAGGGAUCUAUAUGUUUAUUUUUGAAAUCAUAGCAGUUAACCGUCUCUUGUUUCUAUAUUUGGGCAAAUUUUGGGAGUUUAGAUGUCAUUUUCCAAUACAUAAACUUCAAUUUUUGAGUUUGAAUACGAUCUUUGAUAAGAAGAGGUAAAAAAAAUUUAGCUUACAUACAUACUAGAAAGAUAAUUUCUCCUCUCUUUUUCUCUCUUUCUCCACGCGAUGGAGUUCCAGUUUCUUUUCAGUCUAUCCUUUUCUGUCAUCUGUCUAAUCUUCUUCUUCAAACUAGUAUUCCAAUCCCAAAACCCUAACACGAAAUCCCUCCCUGGGCCACUGAAACUUCCUCUUAUCGGCAACUUGCACAACAUGAUAGGCUCGCAGCCACACCAUGUUCUCAAAGAAAUAGCUAGAAAACAUGGGCCUUUAAUUAAACUUCAAUUGGGAGAAAUAUCGACAGUAGUAAUCUCUUCUGCGGAGUUAGCCAAAGAGGUUAUGAAGACACAUGAUCUGGCCUUCGCGGAUAGGCCAGAAUUUCUAGCCUUCAAGGUUUUGUACGAGAAAACUGGCAUGCCUAUUGUGUCAGCACCUAUUGGUGAUUAUUGGAGGCAGAUGAGAAAACUGUGCUCUUUGGAGCUGCUAAGUAACAAAAGAGUCAAGUCAUUUGCUCAUAUUCGUAAAGAUGAGACAUUGAAUCUAAUUGAAUCCAUUCGCUCCGCGUCUGCAACUUCAAAUUCUCAACCAAUUAAUCUCUCUAAAAUGAUGGUUUCGUUCACAAGCACAGUGACUUUCAGGGCUGCAUUCGGGAGCAGAUUUGAGCAACAAGAUGAGUUUGUAUCACUAGACAAAGAAAUAUGCAAACUGGCUGGAGGUUUUUCUUUGGUAGAAGUGUUUCCUUCGCUAAACUUUAUUCAUUUUUUUAGCGGCAUGGAAGCUAAGAUAUUGAAGCUUCAUGAUAAAGCAGACAAGAUCCUAGAUAAUCUAAUCAACCGGCGUAGGGAGAGCAUGAAAUUGGAGAAAAUUACUGCUACUGCUGCUUCUGGAGAAGAAAAUUUAGUUGAUGUGCUCUUAAGGCUUCAAGAGACCAGCAGUUUGGGGUUUCCUAUUACUACCAAAAACAUCAAAUCUAUUAUUUGGGUUAGUAUAUAUAUAAAUGAACCAACCAGUUUGUUUUCUUAAAUAAAAUCAGCAUAUAUAUAUAAAUGACUUCAUUUUUUUCUAAAUUGAAUUACUAUUUAUGCCUCUAGGGCUUUAACUAAGUGAUGUUCAAGGAGUUUUCUUUAACUACUUACCAAGUUCCAAUCCUGAGAGUAGGGUUUAAAAGUUCAAUUUAGAUUUUUCCUACUAAUCUACCAUUUUAUAAAAAAAAAAAAAAAAAAAAAAUAGUAGAGACCUCCUUUAUUUUUAAAAUGGUAAUAUAGACCCUUUUAAUGACAGUAUACCAUUUGACUACGCACUAGUUACCUAGUUGUAGUUUAUUUAUGCAUAAUUGUUAAAAAAAGAGUUUACAUGUGAUUGUGGUUAAAAACAUAAGGGUUUCUAUUACCGUUUUGUCAAAUCAUCUGUCAUUUUUCCUAUAAUUUUUCAUUUUAGGUUUUAAUUUAUUAAACAAAAUUAUUUAACUUCCAAUAUUUUUAAUUUCUAGAACAUAUUUUCUGGGGGAACAGAAUCUGCUGCCACAACGACAGUAUGGGCAAUGUCAGAGUUGAUGAGAAACCCUGGAGUGAUGAAGAAGGCACAGGCUGAAGUAAGAGAAGCACUCAAGGGAAAGAAAACAAUUUCGGAGGCAGAUAUUCAGGAACUAAAUUACUUGAAAAUGAUCAUCAAAGAAACUCUAAGAUUGCACCCACCAAAUCCACUCUUAGUUCCACGACAGACCAGGGAGGCAUGCGAGAUAAAAGGCUAUGAAAUACCUGUAAAGACCAGAGUUGUAGUAAAUGCAUGGGCUAUUGGAAGAGAUUUUAAGUACUGGAAUGAAGCUGAGAAUUUUGUACCUGAGAGAUUUAAUGGUAACGGAGGCAACAAUUCGAUCGAUUUCAAGGGAAAUGACUUUGAAUUUAUUCCAUUCGGGGCAGGACGGAGGAUGUGUCCAGGCAUAGCAUUUGGUCUAGCUAACAUUGGGCUGCCUCUCGCUCAGCUUCUCUAUAAUUUUGAAUGGGAACUCCCUGGUGGAAUUGCAUCGCAGGAUCUUGACAUGAGUGAGGCUUUUGGAGCCAUUGUCUCAAGGAAAAAUGAUUUGUGCUUACUUGCCACUCCUGUCUCGCCUGAUAACGAUCAUCAACUCUGAUGAUAUUUUACUUGCAUUUUAAUUUAUUAUGUGAAAUAUAUAAGAUGAAUGUGUGAGCCAAAUAAUAUUAGCUGUAUUUUAUGGCCGUUGAAAAUGUUUUUGUAAUUUUGCUUAGCAAGUGAAAGAUAUUAGACUAGUUUGUGCAUAUUUCUCCGGAUCCCAGCGUGCCAUGCUAUAUGUUAAUGGAAGAUGUAUAUUAAUCAAAUUUAACUAUAAUGAAUUUUGAUAUCUAAUCUUCAGAUAUUUCAAAAUCUAAAAUUUUAAAUGCCUGGCUUCAAUUUUGACUUUCAAAAGUAUCAUUGAACCUAUAUACGGUCUUUCAGAAAUUCUUCCAUUCUUUCUUCUUAAAAGAAAAUUUUAUCGUAAUGAAAAAACUUUAGAGGAGCCAAAAUAAUAAAAUAUUAAAAUAAUAAUAAAAAAAAUUUUGUUGCUUAUUUUCUAUUUUGAACUUUAUUAAUUAUUACCCAAAAUUAUCUCAACAUGUUCCACCCAUUUCACAAUAUUGUUUUUCCUCAUUACUUUUCUCUAAUCUCCUAAAUUUAUAAUUACAGAAAGAUGAGUUGUAACUCAUCUCCGAUUGAGAACGCCUGUUAGUCAAUAGCUUAAAUCACCCAAGCUCUUUAACUUUUGAUUUUAUCAAUUUGUCAAUUGAGAGCAGUUUUAUUUUGAUAGAAUGUGGAUAUGUUACACAACAUGGUUCUGUAGUUAUUUACAGCUUUCCCCAUAUCUGUGAGCAGCUUUAUUCACUAUUAACGUUAAUUUUGCACAGUAAUUUUAAUUAUUGUACUAUUUUCCAUCUCAUAGGAAAAAGAUAGAUUCAAUUACUGAUGGUCUGUAUGUUGAAAAGUCAAAUGGUCGGCUUACCAAUUUCAAAAAAGCAAAGUUAGGUUUUGAAAGCAUGCAAAUUGAAUAAAUGGCAUGGGACAACUAGCAUGCAUUGCAUGACAAAUUUGGCACCAAUUGCUAAAUUUGUCCAUUUGGCCAAUUAAAGUCAAAUUGAAGCCGUGUGGUAGGUGAGCAAGCUUUGCCUAUAAAUAGAGGAGUAGAAUGCAUUUGUAAAGCAUCCCAAUUUGAGAGAAGUAGAGAGCAAUUGCAAGUGAGUUCUUUGAGAGAAUUUGAAAGAGCUUCCACUUGAGUGUUCUAGUGAGGUUCAAUUUGUGUGUAUUGGGGUUGUGGGUUUUGUGAGUUUUUCCCACUUUUGUAAAUUUCCAUUGUUAGUAAAAUUAUCUUUCAGUCUUUGCCCAUGGAUGUAGGCAUUACGCCGAACCACGUAAAUCAUUGUGUUUUAUUUUCUUUGCAUUUGUUUAACACCACAUUUAUAUUUCUCCAAAAGUUGCAGUAUUAGUAAUUGCUCAACCCACGUUUCCGCAACAAGUGGUAUCAGAGCCGACGGUUCGUACUUGGGGGGAUACAAUACUGUUCACGUAUACGGUACUGUUCACGAAUACGGUGGAGAUGACCAUUUAUACUUGGGAGACAGUCUAUUAUAAGUAGUGUGUAUUUUUGCAUGUCUAGGAAAGUUCUGUCAACAAGGCGAUAAGAGUCUAAGGAUUCUGGUUUUUAAUUGGGACUGAGUUCCCGUCCAGUCUCCUGGGAACUUUUCUGGUGCAUUUAUUUACACGAAAUGAACAUCAUAGAGGUUUUUUUUUAAGUGUAAAUAGUUGUUGAAGAAACUGAUCAUUUGAGAUAAAAAAAAAGAUGGCAGAGACAUCGUCGUCGUCUUCAUCAGCGAGGACUACUGUGACUAAUGCAAAGUUUGAAGUGGAGAAAUUUGAUGGUACCAAUAAUUUUGGUAUGAGGCAAUGUGAGGUGUUAGAUGUCUUAUGUCAGCAAGAGUUGGACGUUGCUCUUGAAGAAAAGCCUGACAUGAUGGAUGACAAGGAGUGGAUAAAAAUCAACAGACAGGCAUGUGAUACUAUUCACCUGUGUUUGGCUAAAGAUAAGAAAUACUUUGUCAUGAGGGAGAUGAUAACUCUAGGAAAUGAGAGUUAUUACAUAUGUUCUAGACUUGAAUAAAGGCCAUUUAGAAAGCAAAUAAUGUAUUUUGAUUACAUUUUGGUGAACUUUUGUAUAAACAUUCAUUUUAGUUGAGUCUUAACAAGUUUGCUUGAAUCAUAGUAAUUUGUGCUAAAAACAGGUUUUUAUUUGUAGGUUUUAAAUUCAUAAAAGGAUGCGGAGACAUUAGAUGAGAAAGAGGAGGAAAGAAGAUGACAUAAAAGAAGCAAAGCACAAUCGGAAAUGACACAAGUGCUGUUGCGGAUGUUAGAGCAACCAAUGCUGCAGCAAUCUGGGAGAAACGCGGGAGAAAAUAUAGGCGCGGGUCAAUAAUUAAAUUACAAUUUGCAUGUUUCCUAAUUUAAACAUAGGAACGCGCAUGGGAGUUGGUUCAGAAAACCUAAUUUGCAAAUAUAUAAAGGAGGCAUGCACCGCAUAGAAGCGGCGGUGGAAUUAACAUUAAAAAACAAUUAAAAAGGGAAGAAGAAGAUCAAGAUUAAGGAGGGAUGUUCGACAUCAUUGAAGCACCGAGGAGGAUCCAUAGACUUUCAUCGUGCUCAGCUCAUAUUAUCUUUCUUCCUUUGAUUGAUUGGAUGUAUUCUACGAUCAGUAUAUUUAUGUUUAUUUUUCUCAUUCAAAAUAUGAACUGAAUUUACUUGUAGUUGAGUGACAAAUAAUCCAAUGGGUUCUUGAUUGUUCUUAUAUGAUGUUAUGAUAAUGCUGUAGCAUUAUACUCUAAUAGUUUUUAUGACAUAAUUGUUAUUUCGGUUGACCACUCAUUUAAUAGUUUCAGUUAAGAUAGAGCAGCAAAAGGGCAUGUCUUAGCGGACAUUAUUAAAGUAUUACUUGUUCUUAAAUUGAGUUUCCUGGAUUAGGUUAUCUUAAAUCCCAUAAGGGCAAUGCUUGAAAUUAAGAUUUGUGAUAUCCUAGACAUAGGUGUUCACCUUGUAGAGUAGAGAGAUUAAAGAUCAUAAAGCCAUACAUUAAAUUUAUGAGCAACUCGUCAUUAUUAGUAGAUUUAAAGGUAUGAGAUUUCCAACAUGCGAUAGCUGCGGAUGCAGAUUUGUUCUACCCAGUGCUGCAGCACUUAUCAUAACAACUGGUGCUAAUUCGGUAAUCAACAGUCACCCCAUUAUGAGAGUUUGAUCAUUCAACUACUAUAUUCUCAAUUGAACCUUGGACACAUUUAAUUAAGUUUAUUUUAUUACGAUAUUGCUUUAAUUCCCAUCUCUCACAAUUAUUAUUUACGAUAGAAUUAUUUGGCAAUUGUUUGUUUCGGUCUUUAGUUGACGUGCAUUAUUGUGAUUGCUUUAGCAUUUUGAGUAACAUCAAUCCCUGUAGAGACGAUCUUGAAAACUCAUCACUUUAUUACUUGUUGUGUAUACUUGCACAUUGGCAUUGAUAAUAAUUGAUUAUAUAAAUCAACCAACAAGUUUUUGGCGCCGUUGCCGGGGAUUGAUUGUUUAUUUUUGGAGUGUGAAGUAAAUUGCGAUAGCACCAAACUUAACUCAAUUCAUUCUAUUGAUUGGCAGAUCAGUACGUGCAUGCGCAAAGAAAGAUCUGAGAUAUUCCAAUUCGAUCAUGAGAUUGAAAGGACUAUCAGGAGAUUGCAAAGAGAACAAAGAAAUUCAAAGACUACUUCAGGCAUGAAUAACUUACAAGAUGAAGGAAAUUUGAACCCUCACGGACCUUUACAACCAGCCAACAUUCAAGAAGAGCAGAAUGAAUAUGCUAACGGGAGACAACCAGGAAAUAACAAUAUUAUUUGCAUGGCAGACGACAGAGACAGAGCUAUACGAGAUUAUGUUGUGCUAACUCCUCAAGUCGUCCAUCCUGGCAUCAUCAGACCUGAAGUAGAUGCUGCCAACUUUGAGUUAAAACCAGUGAUGUUUCAAAUGUUGCAAAUAGUUGGGCAAUUCAAUGGAUUGCUAAAUGAAGAUCCUCAUCUCCAUCUUAAAUUGUUCUUGGAAGUAAGUGAUGCUUUCAAAAUUGUUGAAGCAACGCAAGAUGCCUUAAGGCUGAGGCUUUUUCCUUAUUCCUUAAGGGAUCGAGCAAGAGCAUGGUUAAAUUCAUUACCAUCUGAUUCCAUCACUACAUGGAAUGAAUUGGCUGAUAAAUUCCUAAUGAAAUAUUUCCCACCAACAAAGAAUGCAAAAUUAUGGAAUGAAAUUACCUCCUUCCAUCAAAUUGAAAAUGAGAGUUUGUACGAAGCUUGGGAAAGGUUCAAGGAAUUGCUCAGAAGGUGUCCUCAUCAUGGUAUUCCUUGUUGCAUUCAAUUGGAAACUUUCUACAAUGGGUUGAAUCUGUGUACAAGGUUAAUGGUGGAUGCUUCAGCAAAUGGAGCUCUAUUAUCAAAAUCCUACACUGAAGCUUAUGAAAUUUUGGAGAGAAUUGCCAAUAAUAACUACCAGUGGCCUUCAGCUAGGCAACCAGUAGCAAGAGGACCAGCAGGGGUACAUAGCAUUGAUGCAAUUACAGUCUUAUCAGCUCAAGUAACUUCAUUGACUAACAUGGUAAAAGCCAUGACAGCUGUUCCAGCAACAGUAAAGCAAGUUACUGAACUUUCUUAUGUCUACUGUGGUGAAGAUCACGAUUUUGAUAAUUGCCCUGGAAAUCCAGCCUCAGUAAAUUAUGUGGGUAACUUCAAUCGACAACCUCAGAACAACCCAUAUUCAAAUACUUACAACCCAGGCUGGAAACAACACCCAAAUUUCUCAUGGAGCAAUCAGAAUCGAAAUGCUCCAGCAUUGAAUGGACUAAGUAGAAACACACAACCACAACCACCUGGUUUUCAUCAACAAAGUCAAGGGCAAAAGCAUAUCAGUCAGGAUCCAAUCACUUCAUUGGAAGUAUUAAUUGAGGAGUACAUUGCAAAGAAUGAAGCAAUUGUGCAGAGUCAAGCUGUGUCCUUGAGAAAUCUUGAGAACCAAAUGGGAUAAUUAGCUACAGCAAUGAGCAGCAGAACUCAAGGAAGCUUACCUAGCAACACAGAAGAUCAUAGGAGAGAGAGCAAAGAACACUGUAAAGUGAUUAGUCUGAGAUCUGGAAAGUAUAUUGAUAUCCCAGUUGAGGUGACAAAAAAUGGGAUGGAAGGCAUUUCAGCUCAAAAACCAACUCAAAAGGGAAGCAUGUUACAACAGACUCCCCAUCAAGACACUAAUGCAAGGGACCCAGCUACAGCAACUGCAAAAGAAAAUCAACCAGAUCUUGCUGAAAAAGAAGUUACAACACCAAUAGCCACAACCUGCACCAACUUAAACAAACAGAGUUUGGUACCUCCUGAAUCUAACCAGCAGUUUAAACAUCCACCACCCUUCCCUCAAAGGUUCGAGAAGCAAAAACAAGACAAGCAGUUCAGCAAAUUCCUGGAAAUGUUGAAGCAACUGCACAUAAACAUACCUUUUGUGAAAGCUUUAGAUCAAAUGCCAAAUUAUGUAAAAUUUCUAAAAGAUAUCUUGGCACGAAAAAGAAGGCUGGGAGAGUUUGAAACUGUUACUCUAACACAGGAAAGCAGCCAUAUGCUUAAGAGUAAAAUUCCCACAAAAUUGAAAGAUCCAGGGAGUUUUACAAUACCCUGCUCUAUAGGGAAUAGGUAUGCUGGCAGAGCACUUUGUGAUUUGGGAGCUAGUAUCAACUUGAUGCCAUUAUCUGUAUUUAAGCAGCUUAGAGUAGGGGAAUGCAGACCAACAACUGUCACUCUGCAAUUAGCUAACAGAUCACAUGCAUAUCCUGAAGGAAAGAUAGAGGAUGUACUGGUGAAGGUUGACAAAUUCAUUUUUCCAGUGGAUUUCAUUGUGCUGGACUUUGAAGCUGACAAAGAGGUACCUAUUAUACUUGGCAGACCUUUUCUAGCAACUGGAAAGACUUUGAUAGAUGUGCAGAAAGGAGAGCUGACCAUGAGAGUGAAUGAUCAGCAAGUCACAUUCAAUGUACUAGAGGCUAUGAGAAACCCUGAUGAAAUAGAAGAUUGUAAUUUCCUAAGUGUAGUGGAUCUUGUUGUAGCAGACAGACUGGACAGAUGCUGCAGUAAUGUACUUAACAAAGUCACCACCUUUGAGGAGGUUGAAGAGGAAGAUGUUACAGCAAUUCAAACAGAUUGGAUGGACAAACAACAAUCUAAUGGGCACAACAGGAUUAUUGAACACCUGAAUCUUUCAGACAGGGAAGUAAAAAUAACUUUACCAUCUAUUGAAUCACCCCCUAGUUUUGAAUUAAAACUAUUACCUUUACAUUUAAAGUAUGCUUAUCUUGGUCAAAACAACACACUCCCUGUAAUCAUUUCUUCUACUUUGGAUGCAGGUCAAGAACAAAGCUUAGUAGAUUUGCUGGGAAAAUACAAAAGAGCAAUUGGAUGGACCAUGGCAGAUAUAAAGGGUAUCAACCCAUCAUUAUGUAUGCAUAAGAUCUUUUUAGAAGACUGUUCCAGCAAUUCGGUGGAGCACCAGAGAAGGCUGAAUCCUAUUAUGAAAGAAGUGGUGAAGAAGGAAAUCAUCAAAUGGUUAGAUGCUGGAAUCAUAUACCCAAUAUCAGACAGUUCAUGGGUAAACCCAGUUCAGUGUGUUCGAAAGAAAGGAGGGAUAACAGUAAUGGCUAAUGAGAAGAAUGAACUUAUUCCUAUGAGGACAGUGACUGGAUGGAGAGUGUGUAUGGAUUACAGGAAGCUCAACAAAGCAACAAGGAAAGACCAUUUCCCACUUCCAUUAAUAGAUCAGAUGCUGGACAGACUUGCUGGAAAACAAUACCACUGUUUCUUAGAUGGGUAUUCAGGCUACAACCAGAUUGCUAUAGCACUAGAGGAUCAAGAGAAGACUACAUUUACUUGUCCUUAUGGAACAUUUGCCUUCAGAAGAAUGCCAUUUGGGCUAUGAAAUGCUCCAGUAACUUUUCAGAGAUGCAUGAUGUCUAUAUUUUCUUAUAUAGUAGAGCAGACCUUGGAAAUUUUCAUGGAUGAUUUUUUAGUUUUUGGAGAGGCAUAUGGUAAUUGUUUAUGCAACUUGGAAGAAGUUCUUAAAAGAUGUGAGAUGACCAACUUAGGAGUCCUAGAAUCUUAAGGGCUCACAAUCACUUUGAGAGAUGGAUUGUUGAAGGUAGUAGCUGGGGCGCUGACGGUGAUGAAAGGCACAAGAAGAAAUAACUUGUACUAUUUUCAAGGAACUACAAUUAUUGGAUCAGCAUCAACAGUUUCUAGAAAAUAUGCAGAUUCAGAAGUAACCAAGUUGUGGCAUAUGCGUUUAGGACAUGCUGGUGAAAAGUUUUGCAGACUUUGGUAAAGCAAGGCUUAUUGAAAGAUACAAAUUCUUGCAAAUUAGAAUUUUGUGAACAUUGUGUUCUGGGCAGGCUUUGCCUAUAAAUAGAGGAGUAGAAUGCAUUUGUAAAGCAUCCCAAUUUGAGAGAAGUAGAGAGCAAUUACAAGUGAGUUCUUUGAAAGAAUUUGAGAGAGCUUCCACUUGAGUGUUCUAGUGAGGUUCCAUUUGGGUGUAUUGGGGUUGUGGGCUUUGUGAGUUUUUCCCACUUUUGUAAAUUUCCAUUGUUAGUAAAAUUAUCUUUUAGUCUUUGCCCGUGGAUGUAGUCAUUACGCCGAACCACGUAAAUCAUUGUGUUAUAUUUUCUUUGCAUUUAUUUAACACCAAAUUUAUAUUUCUCUAGAAGUUGCAGUAUUAGUAAUUGCUCAACCCACGUUUCCGCAACACUGUAAGCGAUUCUAAAGCCUGGAUUUGAUGAAGAAUGUAAUGAUCAAUAAUUUUGUUAAUUCAUAAUAUUAAAGGCAACAUUCUGCUAGUAUUGAAUAUUAAUAUUGUUCCUAGUAAUUGAACGUGCAUGAAAUUGUUUAUGUUAUGAUAAUGUUUGUUGAUUUUGCAGUGAGACUGCUGAAUGAUCCAUAAAAAGAAGGGAAAUAGUGUUUUGUCUCAAUGUUGACAUUCUACAUAUGGAAAUUUUAAGUUUGAUUAAUCUGAUAAUAUCCGUGCUUGGAUUCAAUAUAAUUAUUUUCGCAUUGUUCAAGUAGUUGUCGUCUUCCAUAGCUGGUGCAAUAUUAUGGCUUCUGCAGUAAAAGAAAUGCUUCAGAAGUAUUGAGCCCUUUUACAGCAUUCUUCAUAACAACGUUUGCUGCACUUUUCUUUGAAAACAUUAAUGGUGGGAAAUUCUUGCUUGGGAACAAUCUUGCUUGUAAAGUAGCUGGAAUUGGCACCAUUAGCAUUAGGAUGUUUGAUGGCAAUGAAAGGGAUCUAAAACAGGUCAGAUAUGUUCCAGAAUUAAAAAGAAAUCUCAUAUUCUUAGGGGUGAUGGAUCAGGUAGGCUGUAAUACAAAAGCAGAGAAUGGUAAUCUUCAAAUUCAAGAUAAGGACCUGAUUAUAAUGAAGGGCAUAAAGAGAAAUGGAUUAUAUGUACUUGUUGGCUCAACAACUAUGCCAGCAAUCACAACUAUUGUAAGCAGUGAUAAAACCAAACUUUGGCACAUGAGGCUAGCACACAUAAACGAGAGGGGGUUGAAAGAAUUAAGUAAGCAAGGGCUGCUAGGAACUGAUCAAAUCACCUCACUACAAUUUUGUGAAAAAUGUGUGUUUGGUAAAGCUACAAGACAUUAGUUCAACUUUGGUAGACAGGAAACAAAACAUACCUUAGACUAUGUUCACUCAGACAUUUGGGGUCCAUCCUAAGUUCCUUCUCAUGGUGGAGCUAGAUGCUUCAUCACAUUCAUAGAUAAUUACUCCAGAAGAGUGUGGAUCUAUGUGCUGAAGCAUAAAAGUGAAGCAUUUGUAAGGUUUAAGGAGUGGACUGCACUUAUGGAAACCCAAACAGAAAAGAGGCUUAAAAGGCUUAAGACUGAUAAUGACCUGGAAUUCUGCAGCAGUGACUUUGAAAAUUUCUGUAAGUCAAAGGGCAUUGCAAGACAUAGGACAGUGAGACACACUCCCCAGCAAAAUGGCUUGGCUGAAAAAAUGAACAAGACCUUAAUUGAAAAGGUCAGAUGCAUGUUGUUUAAUGCAAAUCUAUCAAAGCAUUUUUAGGCAGAGGUGGUUAACACAGCUACAUAUCUAAUAAAUAGGAGCCCAUCAUCAGCUUUAGAUUUCAAAACACCACAAGAAGUAUGGUUAAGGAAGCCACCAAAUCUUAGUAACCUCAGGGUGUUUGGCUGCCCAGCUUAUGCUCAUAUAAGUCAGGGCAAGCUAGAACCAAAGGCUGUGAAAUGAUACUUUAUUGGGUAUCUAGAAGGCAUAAAGGGGUACAAAAUCUGGUGCAUUGAUGGCAAACCAUCCAGAACCCUAAUCAAUAGAGAUGUAGUGUUUGAUGAAGAAGCUAUGUUAUAGCAAAAGGUUGGAACAGAAAUUGAAAUCUCUGAACCUUUACAUAGAUCUAAGUUGAAGGUGGAGUCUAGAGAUAAUUUGAAAGAAAGUGAAGAGAUGAUUGAGCCCCAUCAAGAAAGUAACAAAACAUCAGAACUUGUUAACUAUCAGCUUGCAAGAGAUAGAGAAAUGAGGGUAGUUAAACUGCCCAAAAGAUAUGGAAUUGCUGACCUGAUAUCUUAUGCACUGAUGGUUGCUGAUGAAGUGACUGGAGAAGAACUUGAAAGCUACAAGCAGGCUAUGAAUAACAGAGAUAAACUAAAAUGACUGAGUGCUAUGGAAGAAGAAAUAACAUCACUCAAGAAAAAUAACACUUGGGUUCUAGUUCAAAGGCCUGCUAGAAGAAGGUUGGUGGGGUGCAAAUGGAUCUUUAAACUCAAUGAGGGAGUUUCUGGAAGUGAAUCAGUGAGGUACAAGGCUAGGCUUGUGGCAAAAGGGUUCACACAAAAGGAAUGGAUAGACUUCAAUGAAGUCUUCUCACUUGUAGUUAAACACUCCUCUAUAAGGGUUCUAUUAGCCAUCACAAUUUUCUUUGAUUUAGAAUUGGACCAGAUGGAUGUGAAGACUGCAUUCUUACAUGAAAACUUAGAAGAAGACAUUCUGAUGGCACAGCCAGAGGGUUUUGUUGAAGAAGGAACUGAAGACAUGGUUUGCUUACUCAAGAAAAGCUUGUAUGGGUUGAAGCAGUCUCCUCGGCAAUGGUACUUAAAGUUUGAUGAAUUUAUGCUUAAUCACAACUUCAGCAGAAGUGAAUAUGACAGUUGUGUGUAUUUCAAAAAGCUGAACUCAGGAGAUCAAAUCAGUCUACUCCUCUAUGUUGAUGACAUGCUUAUAGCAUGUAAACAAAGAGCAGAAGUUGAGAAGCUCAAGACUGAACUAAUGGCAGUAUUUGAAAUGAAGGAUUUAGGUCAUGCUGUUAAGAUACUGGGAAUGCAAAUAAAGAGGGACAGACAUGCCAAGACUCUAUUUCUCACACAAUCUGGAUAUUUGAAAAGGGUUGUCAGUAGAUUUGGGAUGGUGAACUCAAAACUUGUCACUACCCCAGUAGCAGCACACUUCAAACUUUCUAAGCAACAGGAACCAGAAGAAGCAGCAGACAUUGAUCACAUGAGAAGAAUUCCCUACCCUAGUGCAGUUGGUAGCAUUAUGUAUGCUAUGGUCUGCACUAGACCAGAUGUUGCCUAUGGGAUUGGGCUUGUCAGUAGGUUCAUGGGAAAUCCAAGCAAGGAACAUUGGGAAGCUGUUAAAGGGCUGCUUAGAUAUGUUAAAGGCACUGAAGAGUAUGGAGUAGUGUUUGGACAAGUCAAUAAUGUCUCAAGCAAGGUUUUAUGAUAUGUUGACUCUGAUUUUGCAGGAGAUUUAGACAAGAGAAGAUCAGUCACUGGUCUUGUGUUUACUCUCUGUGGUGGAGCUGUGAGCUGGAAGUCAACAUUACAAUCAGUUGUUGCUCUUUCAACAAUAGAGGCAGAGUAUAUUGCUUUAACAGAGGCUGUGAAAGAAGCAAUAUGGUUAAAAUGGUUAGUUACAGAGCUGGGUUUGGAACAAGAAUCAGUCACUGUCAAUUGUGAUAGCUCAAGUGCUAUACAGUUGAGCAAAAUCCCCAAAUACCAUGAAAGAACUAAGCAUGUGGAUGUAAGGAUGCACUUUAUUAGGGAAGAAAUUCGAAGGGGUGUGAUUAAUGUCAUUAAAAUUCCUACUGAAGUGAAUCCAGCAGACAUGUUAACAAAACCUUUGCCAACAGUUAAGUUCAGGAACUCCUUGGACUUGAUUGGGGUUAUUAACUUGUAAGACAAGUUAACUUUUGAUGAAGCAGUGAUGAGUAAAGCUAUAACCGAGUAAACUAAGGUGGAGAUUUGUGGAAUCAAAUUAGUUAUAUUCGGUUAUGAUAGCUGAGGUGGAAAGCUGAGUCAGCAAGGGUGGGUCCCCAGAUGGUUUAAUUAGUUGUUAUAACCAACUGUACAAACUGCUAGCUAUAUAAGCUACAGAAAGAGAGUUGAUCAGUGUGUAACGAAAAAGAGAGUUUCAGUUGAGAGAGAUUAAAGUGUGUGGGUUGUUCUAGAGAGAAGAAUAUCUCUGUGUGAGUGAAAGUUCAGUUUCUUGCUCUUAGUCGAAUCCAUUGUAAUCUUGUCAUCUUCUAAUAAAGCUUUAGCUCUGCUGUUCCUGAUCGUGGAUGUAGGUACUUAUGGUACUGAACCACGUUAACUUUGUUUUGACUUCUUUUAAGUUUCUUUCUUGUUCUUGAAUGCUUGAUUGUAUCCUCUGGUUUCUGGGUUCUUGCUUGUUUGUAAAUUGGUUAUUGCUUUAGUUGGGUUACGAAUUUGGUCUGUUAUUCAAAAAAAUAUAAUUUGUAUUUUUUUCUUCAUUUGUUAUUUUUAUGUCAUUUUAAUUUAUAAAUCUAUAUCUUUUUGGAUCUAUGUAGAAUUGAAACAUAAUAGUGACACUCCAAUAUAGUUGUGGCACAUUAGGUACUGGAUCCAUUAUUUAUCCAUACAGAUGACCAAAAGAAUUAAAUAACAUAAUAAUUAACUGGCUAAAGAAAUGCAAAAUAUAAAUAUGAGAGAGUAUUUUAAUCAUAAUUUAAAAAUCGAGAGUGGAUCUCGUAAUCUUAGUAUUUUUUUAGAUUAGUCUCUAUUAAUUUCUUUUUAUGCAAUUAAUUUUUAUUUAAUAAUUGACUACUAGAUUUAUAGAUUCCUUGUGGUUUGACUUUUGACUCAACGGGUUAUAUUAUAACUAAACACUCUUAUACUUUGGAGUAAUCAACACUUUUAAAUCAUGUCAAGUUUUUUACUUCAUCACUAUAGAAUUUUCUAAAUUUGGCACAAUUUCAUUUUUUUUUAAAUUUUUUUUCUACUCUCCUUUAUUAUUUUUGCUCUCUAUUUCUCUUUUUAUCAUUCCUUUGCUUAAUUCUAGUGUUUUUCCCUUUUUUCAAAAAAUUUCAAUUAACUCCUUUCUUUCUCUUGAAAUUAGUAAAUUACCAUAAAACUUAUGAAAUUUUUUAUUGUGGCCUAAAAUUUCUUACAAAUCAGUCCCUAUAUGAAAUUGGAAUUUGAAUCUAUGGAUCAUGACUUACUCUUUAGACUUUUGAAUGUUGUGGGCUAAAUGAACUUGAACUUUUGGAGGUUGUGGACUAAAUGGACUUGGAUUUUUUACUUUAAAAAAUAUAAUUAAGGAUUAAAUUUAAAUUGAUUAUUUAAUUGGUUGAUAAUUUUUAAAAGUCAGUUUCACAUCUUGAGGUAAGUGUAUCCUUCUAUUUCUCCUUAUAAUUUCUUUUCUUUAAAUUUCAUUUUUAUGGCUUCGGGCCCAGCAUUCAAGGAAACUCACUCACUAGUCUUCGCAAGCUUUACGAGGCCCCCUGCUUUUAAAGCCUCUUAUUUAUCUUAUUUUUUAAAAUUGAUAUUGGUAAUUUAAUUGAGUACUUUAAUUCUUAUCAGAAUUUAUUUAUUUAUUAUCAUUUAAUAACAACUAGUCACAGCUUGUAAUUUGCUCAUAAAUCAACAUAAUAUAAAAUUCAAAUCUGUUAAAAAAUAUGAUUGCGGACUUGAAAAUCUAAGGCCAAUGAAAAAAGAAAAGAAAAAAAAAAGAAUCAAAUCCCUCAGCGGAUUGAGUAAUUUAUGAAUCUCAUUCACUAAUCAACUUUUACUAAUUAUUAUUAUCCGAACUCAAGUGAUCCUAUGCUAUAAAAAAAAAUGUUUUCACAAUCAGUUCCAGUUGCACCUCAAAGUAAUGAUUUGAAGAUAUUAUUAACAAAUCAAAUGACUUGAUUUGAGUAUGAGUAGGUACUAUUUAUUUUACCUAGCAAGCUGUUUUAAAAUAUGGCACUUUGACAUUAUAAAAAUACUUCUACAAUGCACUCAUCACUAGUCGAUCGAUGUCUCAAUUGUCUUUUUAUUUUUGUUUUCUUCUUCUCGUUGUUGGAAUUUGUUUAUUACACAUUAAACUUAUGGAUUAGGCAUCAAUAACUAUAAUUAAUGUUAUGCUUUUAAGGAGUUUUUGGACUUCGAAAAUUUUAAACUAUGAAUUCAAUCAUCAUGAUAAUGCAUGGGGAUGUUUGGAAACAUAAAUAUUGUUGUAUUUGUUUUGUAAUCCUUGCACUCAGUCUCAUGACAAUGAGCAUGCCUUUUUCGAAACAAAUUGAAUUUCUUUACAAAAAUUGACUUUCCCACUAGAGGAAUCUUCUUGGGUUUGGAAAAAAAAUAUGAUCUCCCAAUUUUCAUGAAUUUGGCUGCACUUUAUAAAGAUUUUAUAUUUCACUACGAUACUAAAAAAAAAAAAAUAUUAUUUAACCUAAAUAUGCUAGGGCUAGGGCUAGGGCUAGGGCUAGGGCGUAUUUUUCACAAUGGAACUCACAUAAUUCCAAAGAUGAAUAGUAAUAUCAGAUCAGAUCAUAUAUCUUGUGAAAUUUCUGAAAUGGUAAUGAUGGUCUCCGAUUGAUUAUCAAUGGAAUCAGACAGUUUUUGCAGGCAUGCAAACAGUGUGUGAUCGUACGUAGACAAUUAUGAUGCUGUCUUGGAAAUUAUUAACAAGAACGAGAAAAAAACAAACAAGAAUAUAUCAGCUGUGUAGAAAUAUUGCAGCCGGUCAAGGGAAUCAUUUCCAGGUUCAAGAUGUUGAAGACUUGGAAGUACUCUUUCAGGCCAACACGAAUUUCAAUAGGCUUUCAAGUUUCAAUCAUUAUCUUUUUGUUUUUGCUUUUGAUCUUUAUUUCUUGUUCAAAGAGUGGUAGGUGCAUAAACGUGCAUUGGUGGACUCGAAACACAUCAAUUCUAACCAUCAAAGAAAGUUGUUCUCUAACGUUUUAACGGUAGAGAGAUCAUAGGAAAAAAAAAAUUAAGUUGAUAGAUAAAAGAUUAAUAUCAGUAUUAAAGAUAAGUCUUAAUAAGUUCUUUUACGUCAAAUGUUAACAAUAUGAUUUAAAAUGUAGUAAAUUUUACAGAGUUUGAGAUAGUGGAUUUGAUGAGUGCGAAAUAAAAGUCUGAAAGCAACAAAUAGGCGAAGAGCCAAAAUUAAAACCUUUGUGAUAGGUGGAGAGCCAAAAUUAAAACCUUUGUUUUCAACAUUUUCAAUGUCGUGAUGAAAUCGUAUAAUAUAUAUAAUAAUUCUCCAAAAUCUACAUAAAUUCAAAACCGUAACCAUCAAAUACAAUACGAAGCUCGGAAGUUGAUUAUAAAUUGAUUUGAUGUUUUGGGCAAUAGCCGUAGCACUAAAGCCUUGUUGCUUUAUUCUAAAGAAAGUGUGAUAAGAGAAGUGGUCGGGGCUCAGUAAUGUUAAAUCUAUUAAGGCCGAAGGGGGAGGAAAUGGGCAGUUUUUCUCUUAAAUGGGCUCAGGAUACAUCUCAGAUUGAGGAUGCAAUUUCAGGUUAGAAAACUCAGAAUAAAAGCAAGCCUUAAACCAUAAUCUUGCUUCAUGUUAAUUUGUCAGAGGCUAUAAUUGUGAAAAUAAGAAUAAUAAGGUUUAGCGUGAUCGUUAACGAAACUAACGGGAUCUCUAUUACUAUUUAAAUAAACCUCAAGAGAGUUUUGAGUGGCUUUUUUCUUUUCAAAAUUUGGUCCAUUAUUACUAGCCAUUCAUUAUUUUGAAGGCCUUACAAUUAAAUAUUCAAAUUGUUCACUAAACUAAUUGUUUGCAAUAAGUACUAAUUCAUAAAAUUCGCAUUAAAUUUAGUGCAUAUUGUCACUAAAUUAGAAGUCAAAAUACACAGUCAAAAUUCAUCUGGUACGUAAGUUUGAAGUUUGAUGACGCCAAUAUGGUUCCAUGGCCGUACAUAUGGAGAAACAAAGCUUGAAGAGUCAGUGAAUCUGGAGUCCAUGUUCAAUGGGUAGACCAAAGAAUAAAUCAUGCUUUUCAUGACAGUUGAUUCUUUUAUAUGAUUACUCUUUAAAAUUGCAGUAAUACCAAUCUGGCAUGAAGAUUUUAUAAAGACAGAAAAAAAUACAAAGAAACAAGAGAGACGAAUAUAAUUACGACGAUAGUGAUACAAUUAUAAAGUUGGGAUACCGAUUGUGUCGAGCUAAAAUAAACUCGACCAAUGAUAAAGUUUAACAACAAAUCACCACGUAACUUUAUAAAAAAAAGCCACAUCAAUUGGGACAAAAACUUGGUAAAUUAUCUGAUCAUUAUUCUAAUAAAAUAAAAUAAAAACAACUCAUUUAUUUAAAGUAAGAUAAACAAAUAAUUAACUUGCUACUUCCCUGUAGAUAUGCUAGGAUGAGGUAUAUAUAUAAUCUAACAUAUUUUAUAUAAAAUUUAAUAAUUUUUAAUAAUUCACAUGCCUUCAUUAUAUCUUGUUAGUUUGGUGGAAUAUUAAUAGUCAUACUAAUAAAUUACUCCUUAUAUAUCAUUCACAUAUAAACAAAAAAUUUGUAUAAAAAUAAUUAAAAUAAAUUUUUAGAUAUUGUGAUACUUUUACCUUAUGAGGGUAAAAUAAUAAUAUUAAUUUAUAUUAAAGCAACCUUAUUGUUUAAAUAUAUAGUCUUAAAAAAAUGGGAAAUUAUCAGCCAUAUACCUUUAAAUGACACUCGUAUCAAACGUGUGUGAACAUUUUUCAAGUGUAUCACUCGUAUACCUUAAGUUGACAAAACACUUCUGCCGUCCACCAAUCCGUUAACUACCGUUUGCAAACGCUGACAUCAUAAGGGUAAUCUAGUCUUUUAAGAUGGACAAAACUUUGAUUAAAAAAAACGACAUGUCAUCCCAUUUACCUAGUAAAAAAUGUCAUAUCAUAUGAUAUAUAUUGAUAAAAAUGACAUGUCAUCCCAUUUAUCAUAUAAUUGUUAAAAAUUGCUAAAAAAAAACUAUUUUACAACUGAAUUUACUCUUCCAAAUUUAAUCUAAAUUUUUGAAGAUCUGCUCCUCCAAGCUCUAACUGGAAUUUUUAUGGUAUAAUAUGUAUAAUUGUAAAUAAUAUAUGUUAAUAAUUUUUUAUGGUAUAAUAUGAAUUGUUUUAUGGAUAAUUGUUAAUAAUAUGUACCAUUAAUAAUUUAUUUUUAAUAAAAAAAUUUAUUGUUAAUAACAAAAUAAAAAAAUUUGUGUAUUGAAAAUUUACAUUAAUUUUUGGGAUAAAUUUAUAUUUUUACCUCAUUUUGAGUUUCAAGGGCAAAAUAGUUAAUUUGCCACAAUUCUGUUAACUUUCUAACGGAACUUACGGAUUGGUGGACGAUAGAAGUGUUUUGUUAACUUAGGGUAUACGAGUGAUAUACUUGAAAAAUGUUCACAUACGUUUGAUACGAGUGUCAUUUAAGGGGAUAUGGCUGAUAAUUUCCCUAAAAAAAUAAAUGAAUGUCAAAUAAAUCACUACUAUAUCAUUAAAAUAUGAAACAAUUGUAUAAAAAAAUAUUAAAGUUAAAGUAAAAUUGAUAUAUUCUUAUACUUUAUGAUGACGGUAAAAUAGUCAUAUUAAUUUAUGUUAAAGUAACCUUAUUGGUCAAAUAUAAUAAAAAAAAAGUCUACAAAAUGAAUAUGGAUUUAAUUGACAAUUUUUUUAAAAAAUUUCUUCUUAAUUUGAAUUUUUUUAAAAAAUAAUGUAAACUUGUUGUAAUAAGUUUUUGAAAAUGGGGUAGGUUUAUAAAAUUUGUAGAGUGGACUAUCACCACCUGAACAUAAAUGCAUUCGUCAAAGGGGUAAAUUUUGGUUUAAUCCUCUCCUGAAUUAAUUAUUUCAAAUCACUCGUUCACUUUGAAAACUUCAAGUUGCCCCUAUUUUUGUUCAAAAGAUACAAAAAAAUAGGGUUCAAAUGAUGAUUUAUUUUCUUCUUAACAAAAUAAAAUGGGAAUAAAUUGAGGUUUUUAAAAGAAAGAGUUUAUUUAAAAAUAGUCAAUUUAUGAGGGGAUAAUUCAAAAUUAACGAUUUACAAAGAGUUUGGUCUUAAUUUAAUAAAUAUCCGAUUAACACUUUUUGUUUUUAUCAUUAUAUUUUUGUUUUAGUAUUUUCUUUGACUAACCAAUCAUGAAUAAAUUCUAGUGAGGUAGAGGAUUAAAAAAUCAAUUUCUUACUAUUAUAUGAAAGUGGGAAUUCUUGAAUAAUUUCUUUGUGAAAUGUUAAUUAAUUAAUUUAUUUUAUUUAAAAGGUAGAAGGUGAGCAAAAUUUAUAAAAGAAAAAAAUCAUAAAUGAACAAGAGAGAAGAAUUAUAAUUUACAAAUUAACAACUCUUUUAUUCAAAACAAGUACUUGUUGAUACUAGCAUCCAGAAUAUACAUCUCAAUCACAACCCACGGAUUGUUGACCACUGCCAAAUACUCAACUCACAACUUCAAAGUAAAAUGACAAUGCAAGCUUCCAUUAGAGCAGCUUUUGUAAUCAAAACAAUGGAAUCUCAUCAACCAUCAAUCGUUUCCUAGGGCAUGGUCAUCAGUGAAGAAAAUCAUUUAGCAUACAAAGCUUCAGUAGUGAGCUACAGGGGCUUAAACAAAAGUCAGUACAUGAAAGAAGACGUGCUAGAAGAAACCAAGCAUCAACCCCAUAGAGGUAUUCCAUGGCAUGGAUUGUAACUUAUAAGUCUGGUAAAUCGCUGAUCCGUUGAUGGUGUUAUGAGUACUCAAAUAAAUGAUUGCUUUUCUCAACGUUGGAAUGUUUUUUAAACAUCAAUGUAUUUUUUGCUCUAAGUAAGGCACACUUAUCUUUACUAAUAACUGUAAAAUUUGGUAGAGGAAAAAAUAGUUGUAAUUCCAUAACUAUUUUGUAAAUCUUUUGCCAGAAUUUUGUGUACUCUAGAGAAAAGUUGGAGCAAGUAAAGAGCUCAAGAGCUUUUUUUUUUUUCCUUUGCUUUCUGAGGAGAAGAGGAGACAGCGAAUUUGAUUUUAUAUUGAAUAUAGAGUCUAGUGCCAUAAAUAUGUGAUUUGAAGAAUCCAUUUCUCAGAUUUUCUCCAUUAAAUUUAAACUUAAGAGAAAGAUAUGGCGGUGAUGCUCCGUUAUAAGGUAUGAUAGAAUACCAUACAAACUGAUUCAAGUAAAAUAAAAAUGAGUAUUUAAUUUUACAAGGUAAGCUUAAGGAUAAGACUAAUCAGCCUCCCGGACAUAGCUCGAUGGUUGUGAAUACACAGUCACAAAGUUUGAGUAGUAAUUGAAAAAAUAUUGGUAUUUAGAGGGUGGGAUUUCUCAUCCCAUCCAAACCUAUAAGUAAAUAGUAUUUUAUUAUAUUAUUUGAUUAAUUUACAUUGUUCGUUAGGAAUUAUGUGAUUGGUACAUUUGGCCAAAGUUCAUCGCUGUAUCCCAUGGCAUAUAAAAAAUAAGAUGGUGUUGUUUGCAUGGAAUUACUGCUUAGUAAUAUGUUGCCAUUAAUGGUAAUUAAUUUUGAUAUCUAAUCUUCAGAUAUUUCAAAAUCUGAAUUUUAAAUGCUUAUCUUCAAUCUGUACCUGAUUUUUUUUAGUGAGAAUUCCAUUUAUGGCCUUGGUUGUAAAGAGAUAAAAACAAGCACUCUAUGUCCACUACUAUAAGGAAGCGUUUAAUUUUUAGAUUCAAGUGGAAAUCAUGAGAAGUGAGAAUUCUAGAAUUAGGAGUGUGGAGUGUGGAGUGGGAGUAGAAUUAGCUUGUUUACUUGCACUGGAAUGGAAGCAUGGAAUGAAGAUCAGAAUCUAAUUUAUGUGUUUACUUUGUCUUGGAUUGAGAGUAAACAGUUUCAAAUUAUAAUUUUAUCCUUAUUUAAAGAAUUAUAGUUUUUAAUUACAAAGUUAAUAAAAAAUAUAUUUAAUGAAUAAACAUUUAUUUUAUUAUAUUUAUAAAUUUAUAAUAAUUAUUAAUAUUCUUAAUUAUGAACAUCACAAUUUUUUAUUAAUUUUAAUUUUGAUUAUAUAAAUUAAAAAUUGUUGAUAAGGGCAAUAUAAAUGAAAUAUUUUUACUAUUAACAUAGUAUGAAAUUAAUAUUUUCUUAGAAUAAACUAUUUAUUAGUAUUAAUUAUUAAUAUUAAAUAAAUAUAAUACUAUUAUUUUUUAAAUAAAUAUAGUAAUAUUAUAUUUUCAAAUAAAGAUGGUAUAUAGUAAUAUUAUUAAUUCUCUAUUAAUAUAAUAAUAUUAUUUUUUAAGUAAAUUAAACUUAGAAUCAAACCCAGUUAUUAUUUAGUUAAAUAUAAUAAUAUUAUUUAAAUAUUUAUUAAAUAUAAUUAUAGUAAAUUUAAUAAAAAGAAGGGUAAAUAUAAAAUGAAACAUUAUUUUAUUUUAUUUAAUAUAAUUAUAUUAAAUUUAUUAUUUAUUAAUAUAAUAUUAUUUAGUACAAAAUUAAUAUUUUCUUAGAAUAAACUAUUUAUUAUUGUUAUUAAUUAUUAAUAUUAAAUAAAUAUACUACUAUUAUUUUUAAAUAAUAUAAUAAUAUUAUAUUAAAUAAAGAUAGCAUAUAGCAAUUUUUAUCAAUUCUCUAUUAAUAUAAUAAUAUUGUUUUUAAGUAAUUUUAACUUAUAAUCAAUACAAAUUAUUAUUUAGUUAAAUAUAAUAAUAUUAUUUAAAUAGAUAUAAUAAUAUUUAUUUUAUUUUAUUAAAUAUAAAAUAUUAAAUUAAAUUAAAAAAGGGUAGAAAAUGGGGAGGUGGGAGUGGGAUUCCCAAUCCUUUCCUAAUUUGUUGAAGUAAAGUGGGAGGAAUCCACACUCCUCACUCCUAUUCCAGAAAAUAAACAUAGCCUAAAGGAAUUGAAGUAUUUUAAACUAAUUUGUUUGCCUGGAAUAAUCAAUUGAUGGAAAAAAUAUAGUAAUGAAAUUGAUAAUUAUGAGUAAUGCUACGUACAUAGUUAGGAAUUAUGACUAGAACUUAAGUCAAUGCUUGUUACUUCAGUCUCUCAAGCAAUAGCCUUAUUCUAUCUAACAAGGCAAUGUACUAUUAGGCUAAACUCUUGCUUCUUAGUCUUAAGACAACCAUUGUACAUGUAUAUUUAAUUGCGAAUAAAUUAUCAUCAUAUAUGAUUGUAAGUUUGGAACUCUUUAUUAUAUUACUUUUGAAUAUAAUCCUAGUGUUUUUUAAUUAUAUAUGCAACUUUUAAACUUUUUAAUUUGUAAAUUCUCACUUAAAAUAUAUGAGUUGGUAACAUGGACAAAGCCAUCAACUUGCAGCUGGGGAUAAAUAAAUUAAAGUCGAUGCUAGUUAACUUCUAUAUAUCAAGCAACAUCAUCGACUUACAUAUUAUAUUUCAGUGACACUAAGGCUACAAUAAAAAAUGACCAAAAAUUCGAUACCAUGAAUAUUAUAUAUUUGAGUGACAAUAAAGUUAUAAUACCAAAAGAAUAAAAAAAUUAUUUUCUUGUUUAUUAUAUUUUGAAAAAAGGAUAUCGGCACUCCUAUAAUUUAUUGAAAUGGUUGUAGAGACCUCUAUAUUUUCAAAAAUGGUCACAGAUAAUUUUUGGGACACAAACUUUUUUUUCUUGACAAAUCUUAAGGGUUAUGUGAAUUUGUGGCUAUUUUUGAAGCAAAAAAUAAAAAAUAAAAAAGAGUUUAUGUGUCUUAAAACAGUUUGUAUGGCAAUUUCUAAACAUAAGAAAGAGUAUGUAUAUCUUGAAAAUGGGUUUGUAUAAUUAUUUAUUUGUAUAAUUACUUAUGAAAAUAAGAGGGUCUCCAUGACUAUUUCCUCAAACUAAGAGGAUAUUUUUGUCAUUUUUCCUUACAUUUUUAACAUUAGGAUGGUAAUGAAUAAUUAAAAAAAGGUACCCAAGUAAUAAAUGUGAGAAAGAAAUCUAAUUAAUUUUCUCACUUUGAAAAUUUUUAAUUUACACAACACAAUGAAAGUGCUGCUUGAACCAUAAGACUUUCAACCACAAAAGCUCGAUUUGAAGAUACUUUCAAAAUGUUGGCACUUUUUUAAUUGACUUAUUUUGAUAGCUUAAUUGGUAAAUUUCAAAUUAAUAUUGAAAGGUUAUCAUAUGAAACACUUGGACUUUUUAACUAAAAUUGAAAUAUAAUAUUUAAGAAACCCCUGGACUUUUCAAAAGCCAAUCAGAAUGGAAAAUGAUGGACAAAUCGAUCAUUUCUGGUAAUAAGAUCUUGUGCAUGACCUUAGAUGAUCCCAACAAUGUAAACUCUUUUUUCUUUUUAUUAUUAACCAUCAAUUGUUACUAUAUGUUUUGUUAUCAUAGAAUCAAAUAAAAUAAUGUUGACAUCCUUUCAAUCAAACGGAAGCUUAAUUAUGAAGCUACUUCCUUAUUGCUAUAUAUUUGUUAUCAUAUUUGUUUUCAUAGGCGUAUGCUUCGAUCCAUUGUAAUUAUAAAAUGUACCACUUUUCAAGGAGUAGUAGGUGGGAUUGAAAAACUCUAUUAAACUGAUGGGACGACAUCAUGUGUUUAUAAUAAUUAUUAAACAUAUGCAUUCUACUCUUCAAACUUACAAUACUUUAGUAGUUUAUUUUAUCAAACACUUAACUUUUGCAUUUGUCCAGUUGAUUUUCUCGUCAAUAUCAGCAAAAGUGAAUUAUUCAUAAGCAGCAAUCCGAAUCUAUCCCUAUAUAAAUAUUAUAAAUAAUUUUUUUUGAAAAUUAUUUUUAUUUCUAGAAAAACAUAUUUUGAUAUUAUGAAUCUAUCAUGUAGAUUUGAUUCAAUACUACGAUUUGUUCGCCAAUGACUGACUUUAGAUUUCUAUAAUAAAUAAUUUUUUUUAUCAAUUUAGUUAUAUAUAUAGUUAAAUUAUUAUAAGAUUUUAAGCUAAAUUUUUGGUGGUUAGUAUAAUCAAAGCCUAUAAUAGUAAAAAACAAAAGGCUAUUUACCAAAUCAUAGUCAGUCCACUCUCUUAUUUGUACAUUGAAUGAAUUUUGAGAGUUUAGAACUUUAGAUAUACCGUAUGCAUAAAAUUCUAUUGUGUGUGUCAAUACCACCUACUUGAUAAGAGAUCUAUAAAAUUAACUUAACUUACAUAUAUCACAGUAAGUUUUGAAGUCGAUGGCUUAAUUUCUCCUCUUCUGGAUGGAGCUCCAAUUUCUUUUCAUCCUAUCCUUUUGUCUCCUCUGUCUAUUCUUCUUCUUCAAAAUUGUAUUCAAAUCUCCAAACCCUAAUAAGAAAUCCUUCCCUGGGCCACUGAAAAUUCUUUUUAUUGGCAACAUGCACAACAUGACAUCACAAACAUUUUAUAGCAGCUAUGCUUGUCCAAUAUAACUACUUACGAGGAUCCUUUAAUAAAAUUUGAUGCCAAAAUAGGAUACAAUAAUUUUGCCUUGGUACCAGAAAAUAGAUAAAAGGAAAAAAAGAAAACCAUUACGUACACUUUUUUCAUCUUUUUUUCUCCUCUUCCAGUCUUCCCCAUGCAUCAUAUGAUUGCUGGUUUUUCGCUGAUCAAAGUGUGCGAACAUAACAUAAUUUUAUUUAAAGAGAAGUAUGACAAUAAUGAGAUACAGUUAUUGCACAAUAAUCUCAACUUUGUAAGCAUAUUACUAUUCUAACUAGAAUACAAUUCUUUUAUUCAAAGCAAGAUAAAUAAAAUUAACUUCCUACUUCCUUAUAAAUAUGCUAGGGUUAGCGGAAGCAUAAGCCAUGAUGCUAGUUUCUUGUUCAAAUUUUUCCAUGUCCUCCUUAAACAUUACCACCAAUGCUUCUAUUCCUUCGCCGUCACUUGUGCUUGAUAAAAUAGCAAUAUCAGGUAACAAUAUGGGCCCGAGACUAAACCAAACAGGCUUCCCCCAACCAAAAUCAACUUCAUAACAAGGCAAUCCAACCACACUAGUCAAAGGAAAUGACCUUGAAUCUUCCCAUGCUUCAUACAAAUCCUUAAUGAAAUCUAAAUACUCAUCAUUAUUCAUCACAUCUCUUCCCAUUCUCUUGGCUUUUACCACUUCUCUUACUAAAUUUGUUACCUCUAUGGCAUCAUCCUCGGCUAGUGACCAUUCUGCCCUUACAAGCCGAAAAAUGUUACCCAUGCAUCGUGGAAACAUUGGUGGAUUCAUCUUGUUACGCAAAUUCAUAGUAUAAUACAUUGAAUGAGAGUACAACAUGUUAUCAGUUGUCCUCUUUCUUUCACGCGCUACAGCGAUGGAGGCACCCCAAAUGAGUGCUGAAACAACCCCGAAACGCGUUGCUUGUAACACGUAAUCGUCAGAAUUGUUAUCAGCCAUUAAUUCUUUAUUCACCUUCUCCUUUAGAGUUGCUAUCUUCUUGCCUUCGAACAAUAAUCUUUUGAACACAAUCUUGCGUGCAGAUUGUGGGCUUGGGAUCUGAUACUGCUGUGGGAACUUUACUGGCGGAAACAGAGAGGUGCAAUCUAAAACGAUAUUGUUAUUGCAAAUAUUAUCAUUAUCAUUAAUCACCCCACGAGCAAUUUCACCCCAGGUUUUCAUGAAGUUAAAGAUUGCCGAACCGUCGGCCACUCCAUGAGAAAAACAAACACCAAUUGCCAUUUCACCGCUGUUGAACAGAUUUACUUGGACAGCCAAAAGUUCUCUUUCAGAAAUCUCUAAAUUCGAUAAUUGGGGACUAGGUGGGAUUAAUUGUUGCAGCAGCUCCAUAUCUGGUGGUUGAAGAAACUUUGAUAUAUCACAGCCAACAUUUGCUUCAAUAAAUGCAGCCCCAUGAUCAUUACAGUCGACCGAAAAACCAUCAAUGAAUCUUCCAGCAAAGGGGUAGUAGUGGGUUAAUGUUGUUGCGAGAGAUUGCUUCAAUAAAUCAGAUUUUUUUCUGAAAUCUUGGUGCUUGCAACUGGCUGAGUAGAAGAAAACUAGGGGAAUAUAAAGAUCAUAAUUCAUUUGAUCAAUCAAUGAAAGUUUAUAGGUUCUAAGAUGUUUUCGCGUUGGAAGUGAAGGUUUGACUCUUUCGGUGGAAAUGACCUGAACAUCAGAAGUGGCACUUUUGAUACUUCUUUUUGAGAAAAUCUGGACAUUAUUCGUGAUUAAUUUGGAAGCAGUUAUUCGGAAAAUGUUUUUGAGAGUCACUGCCAUCUUUUGCUGGCUUUGAGAAAUUAUUCACCAAAGUGAGUGUUGAGUGGCAUAUAGUGUAGUGCAGCCAAAUUCAUCAUAUUUAUUAUAAGCGUCUUGCAUAAUUGCUUCUGAAAUGAUCGGAUCUCCAAAAUAAUAAAGAAAAUCAAAGCGAAUCCCUUAGAAAAUAUACAAAGUCAACAAAUGGAGGUUAUUUCAAUAAUAGACAAUAUUAAAAAAAUUGUCGCUCUCCGGGUCAAUAGAUCAGUUUGAGAUAUAUCAAAUUCUAAUAAUUCUUGUUACUUCUUAUAUAAGAACAUAUAUUUAAUAUAUAGAAAGAAGGGGAACUAAUGAAUAAAAUAAAAUAAAGUCCAUUGGCAAAUUCCAUGAACCCGAAAGCUGUGCAUCUAUAUCUUAUUUAUUAAAAUUUACACAACACUUAAAUAUUUUAUGAAAAUAACACAAAUAUUUGAGAUUUGUACAUAAAUAUGCUAGUUACUAUUUUAUUUUAAUGUCACCACAAUAUUAAUUAGCAAGAAGUAACUUUUUGUAUCUCUGACGGAAUAAGUCGAAUUGGUUUGUCCCCUUAUAGUGAAAACAAGAGGUCACAUGUUCAUUUCCCUCUCCCACCAACCCUGGGAAAUAAAAUUAUUUAAUUGAUGUUUCAUGUAUAUAGGAUGGAAUAUGAAUUUAACUUUUGAUACUUUUGUUGAAAUUUGAAUUAUAUACAAGGACAUAAAUAUAUAUAUGAUGUGCUAGGUGAUUAGUGUGAUUGUGUAUAUGGGCGGGUGUGUGUUUGUUAUAUAUGCCACUGCCAAUUCCAACACAAUCUUGGACCGACAUUAGCAUGAAUUUAUUUUUGGAAUUACCCCGUACUCAGAGGGGUAUGGAUUCAAUAUUUGUUGAUGUGGAUCAAUUCUUGAAAAUGGCACACUUUAUUGCCUAUAAGAAGACUACAGAUGCCUUGACUGUUGCUUGUUUAUUCUUUAAAUAAGUCUAUAGAUUGCAUGGUUUACCGAGUUCUAUAGUAUUUGAUCGAGAUAUGCGAUUUCUUAGCCAUUUUUGGAAAACAUUAUGGAAUUUGACAAACACUCGCCUAAAUUUUGAAAGUACUUACCACCCACAAAUAGAUGGUUAAACUGAAGUUGUCAAUUGCUCUUUAGGAAACCAUCUACAUAGUCUAGUUGGUGAUAACUCGAAGAUAUGGGAUCAAAAGUUAUAUCAAGUCGAGUUUGCUUAUAAUCCUGUAGUUAAGCGUAGUACUGGUUUAAGUCUUUUUUUAGGUGAAUUAUGGAUAUAAUCCACGAGCUGCCAUUGACUUAACUCUAGUUCUAGAUUUAGUUUGCAAAAGCAGCAAGACAAAAGACUUUAUUAAGCAGCUUCAGAAGAUUCAUGAAGUUAUGCAAGAGUCUUUGAAGAAGACUACCGAAGGUUAUAAAAUUAAGGCAGACAAAAGGUUUCAAGCUUUAGAAUUUCAGGUGGGAGAUCUUGUUUGGCUGUCCUAACCAAAGAUAGAUUCUCAGUUGGUGACAACAACAAGCUUUCUGGCAGGAAAAUUGGACUUUUGGAGAUUAUAGAGAAGAUAAUUCUAAUGCCUACCAAUUAAAGCUUCCUAGUCACAUCCGCACUACAGAUGUAUUCAAUGUCAAGCAUCUUAUUCCUUGCAAAGGUGAUCAUGAUGAAGAUGUUGUUGCUGACAAUUCAAAUUUGAAGGUGAAUUCUCUCCAUCCUGGGGGAAUGGUGCGAAUUAGGAAUCCAUAUUAUAUUAGGAUAUGUUUCCUUAUUAACAAAGGUUUAAGACUUUUAUUUUCCUUUCUAGUUUAGGACUUUAUUUUCCUUUUCUUUAUGGUUUAGGAUAUCUACUACUAGUAUAAAUAUCCCUUCUUAUAGCCUUUGAAAGUAGAUUUUUGAGUUCAAUAAUAUUUCAGUUUUUGCAAAUCUCUAUGUGAGUUUUUUUAGUUUAAUUAAUUCCUAGUAUUCUCGGAAUUAACGAGUCUUAGCCCCCUAAAUUUGUGGUAUUAUUUUGAAUCAAUGUGAAUUUAGUUUGUUCUUUAUUCUAGUAUUCUCUAUAAUCAACAUAAUAUUUUGAAUAUGAAACUUCCGUUGCAUCAGGAAGUCUACUUAUUGGGGAAAAUAAUUUAUUUUAGAGGGAUUUUAUAUGUUGUACUCUUUUUCCCCACUAGGUUUUUAUCUAUAUAUCUCCAAAAUUAUUUGUUUCAAGACAUCAAUGAAUAAUGUACUCGUUUUCCUUUAUUAAUUUUUUUCCCAUAAGGGUAUUUUUUAGUAAAAGUUUUAAUAAGGCAUAUUCUUUUGUAAUGAACAUUCAAGGGAGAGUGUUUUGAAUUUAUUAAAAUAAAUGUGGAUGUUUAUAACAUACAUCUCUUAGUCUCCCUACUAUCUCCUACCAGCCACCUUUGGCUUCUCUAUAACUCUUACUAUCUCACAAAGAAUUAUGAUCUAUAAUGUUUCCAUUAAUUUCAUGGAGUGAUUAUGUAACAAUAAAAAAGAGUUCAUUUUUUUUUUGUUUUGUAUACAUUUGGAAUGAGUAAAAUCACUUUAUAGUAUAUUGCUCUCUCAUUUUACUUUUUAUCUUGUGUUGCUGGCUAAUAGUUCUUCUAAUAAUAUCUAAAUAUUAAUAGCGUAUAAUACUCUAAAUACAUACAAAAAAAUUAUAAAAAGAUCAUCACAACUCAACACUUUAGUUUAAAUUCAUUUAAGAAAUAGUUAAUCCUUAUAGAACAAGUAACAAAAAUUAUUAAAUACAUGCUAGCUUUGUUUUACCGAUCUUUAUAUAGAAAACUAUGACUAUGAAAGAUAUAUCCAAAUUCAAUAAUUCUUUUUACUUGUUCUUUUCAAAAGGCUUUUAUUUUAUAUAAUAACAUUGACAUUAAUUGACUAUUUUAUUAUUUCUUAAAUAAUCCAAGCAUGUAUGUGUAGCGGGCUUUUAUGUUCUUGGAAGUUUGUGAGCAAAAAUAUUAGUGAAUGUAACGUUGGAAGUUUGUGCUUACUCAAGAUUUUUUUUCUUUGACAAGUACUGAAGAAGAUUAUGUAAAUUGGAAAUGGAAUAUGUUGUUGAUAGUGUGCAGUAAAUAUGAUUUUAAAAAAAAAUUAUUUUAAUAAAAGUAAUAAAUAUAUUAUAGGUAUCAUAUAAGUGUGGGAUAAAAGGAUAAAUUUUAAUUUACAUCUACUUAAAAUGACAAUCUUUAAUUUACGUUUCAAAAGUUUGAAAACAUCAAUUUAUCUUUAUUUAUUAUUAAGAAGACAAAAAAUAAUUAUUUAUCAACGCACCCUAUUCGUCCUCAUCUUUUGAACGAAAAAAAGAGUAAAAUGAGGGUUUCACACUUUUAGGGGCUAAACUAAAGAUUGUCACUUUAUCAGGGGAAUGGAUUGAAGUUUAUUAGAGAAAAAAUCAAGUUAACUUGCAAAUUAAACCUCAAUAAUUAGUGUUUUCUAAACGCUUUAGUACCAUAACUUUUAAGUUACAACUAUUCAACCACCGUACCAAAUAGGGUCUAAGUUGAUAUUAAUAUUUAAAGUUUUUUUAAGGGUACAACAUCAAACAAGAAAUCUUAAGUUGAUAUGAAUUUUUAAAUUUCUUGUGUUGUGCAUUUAUAAUUGUAUAAAGUUAAUUUAUAUAAUGUUGACUUAUGAAUACUAGCUAUCUCAAAAUGUAUUAAGGUAUCAUUUACUACUUGAAUUAGAAUUGGAAUCCCAAGGAAUGAGAAUCAUGGGAUUGAGAGUGUAGAGUGAGAGUGACAAUAAGUUGUUUACUUACAUUGUAAUGGGUGUGGGAUAGGAAUCAAAAUCCCAUAUAUAUAUAUAUUUACUUUAUAUUAGAUUACGAGUGAAUUAUUUCAAAUUAUAGUUUUACCCUUAUUUAAAAAAUUGUAGUUUUUAAUUACAAAGUAAAAAAAAAAUAUGUAAAAUAAACUACUUAUUUUAUUAUUAAUUUAAAAAAAAAUAUGUAAAAUAAACUACUUAUUUUAUUAUUAAUUUUAACUAUAUAAAUUAAUAAUAAUUAUUAAUAUCCUCAAUUAUGUAAAUCAAAUUUUUUUUAUUAAUUUUAAUUUUUAUUAUGUAAACUAAAAAUUAAUGAUAAGAGCAAAAAAAUGAAAAGCUAUUAUUAAUAAAUAGUAAAAAAUAAUAUUUUCUUACAAUAAACUAUUUAUUAUCAUUAAUUAUUAAUAUUAAAUACAAAUAAUACUACUAAAAUUAAAUAAAUAUAAUAAUUUUAUAAUUUUCAAAUAAAGAUAGUAUAUAGUAAUAUUAUUAAUUCUCUAUGAAUAUAGUAAUAUUAUUUUUGAGUAAUUUUAACUUAGAAUUGAUGUAAAUUGUCAUUUUUAACUAAAAUAUAAUAAUAUUAUACUUAAAUAAGUUUAUUAUUGUUAUUUUUAAUAAAUCUAAUAUUAUUAAAUAAUACAAUAAUAUUAUUUCAAUGAAUGUGAUAUUUUAUUUUUAAAUAAAUGUAAAAUUAUUUUAAAUAUAAUUAUAUUAUAUUUAAUAAGGGAAGAGUAAAAAAAAAUAUGGGAGUGGAUUCUCAAUUUCUCACUGUUAAUGAGUAGGACACAAUGAGACUUUCAUUCCCCUCCUUAAAUGAAUAAGUAAACGUUAGAGUGAAAGAAUCAUAUUCCCCACUCCUAAUUCAACAAGUAAACAUAACACAAGUGUCAUGCAACUAUAUAAAAGUUAAUUUAUAUAAUGUAUGAAUUUCUUUAUUAUAUGAACUAACGUGCUAAUAUGCUCAAGGAAAUUAAUUCUGGGUUUACUUUGUUGCAAUAUGUGCUUAAGUAAAUUAUUGCUUCAUUUAAUAUUGGAAGUUUUCUUGAUAUUGAGGCACACUUAUUUUUACUAAUAGAUGUGAAAUUUAGUGGCCGCAAAUGAUAGUAAUUUUAAUACCAUAUCCAUUUUCAAAAUUUUUGCCAGACUUUUGUGCAUUCUAGAGAAGAAAAAGCAACUUUUUAGUUGUAGAAGAUUCUUCCAUAUCGAGAAAAAUUGGAGGAAAGAUUGAGCAAGUAAAGAGUUGAAAAGUGACGUUUAUUUAUUUGUUUUGGUUUUUGGUUUUUAGAUUGAAAUUAAUAACUAACCAAAGUUGGUUGGUGUGAGUGGCUCGGCACUCUCACUUCUUAAGAGAGAUCAGGGAUUCAAGUCCUGUUCUCGUAUGAAGUCACCACUUUGGCUAGUACUUUACCCCUUAUGGGCCGACCCGGUGUGAGCGGGGAUUAGUCUGGGUUGUGGUACGGGCUUAAAAGUUCCUCCCACAAUUAGAACCCACUCAGGAUCACCUUGUGAUUGAGACAAAAAAAAAUUAAUAACUAAUUGCAAUAUUAAUUUCGUUUGAUAUAACGUGAUUGGUUCAUUUCAUCAAAGUUAAUUCAUUGCUUUAUUUCAUGGCUCAUAAAGAAUAUAGAGUGGAGCUAUUGGCACCCCUCUUACAUCCUAUUAAAACAUGUUAUUAAGUGUACCCCAUUAAAUAAAAUUGGGAACGUGUGUAGCAACUAACGUGUGCAUGGAGCAACUAACGUGUACAUGUGCAGUAACUAUUGUAAUAUUCUCUUUGUAUAGCUUUUGUAUUCCAUUAGGAAUAGAAGGAGCAUAUUUAGGAGACUAUUUAGAGAUUUCGUAGCUAUCUUUGAUUUUGGUAUAGGUGUAUAUAUGAAUAGCCGUGUGAUAUACAACUAGGACACAAAAUUUCUUCCCCUCUCACAAACGCUUUCAUGGUAUCAGAGCCUUGAGCCGAACCUUCUAAUAAAUCAAAAUUUUUCCAUAGCCGGUGCUGAAGCUAAGCACCAUGGCUGGAAGGGAAAAGGAAAACCGAAAUAUGAUAGAUUCAUCUUCACUUUAUUAUCUUCAUCCCUUUGAUCAUACGGGCAUGAUUAUAUCCCCGAUGAAAUUAAACGGUGAGAAUUAUGAAGAGUGGUCACGCUCGAUGCGUAAUGCAUUUCGGGCAAGAAGAAAACAAUCGUUUUUGAAUGGCAAGAUUGAAAAACCUGCCGAAGAUGCUCUUGAAAUUGAAGGUUGGUGGAGUGUGAAUUCAAUGCUUGUAGGAUGGAUAUUUACAUCUUUUGAACCGCAUAUUCGUUCAACAAUCACCUACUAUGAUACUGUUAAGGAACUCUGGGAUGAAUUAAAAUUGAGAUUCUCAAUUGGGAAUGGACCACGGGUGCUGCAAUUCUGAUCCGAUCUGGCUAAAUGUAAACAAGAUGGGCAGAUAGUAGCAACCUAUUUUGGACGUCUCAAGAUUCUGUGGGAUGAACUCAGCAACUAUGUUCAACCUCUUGUCUGCUCUUGCGGCAAUUGGACCUGUAAUCUGUCGACGCAGUGGGAAAAACAAAGGGAAGAAGAAUGUGUUCACCAAUUCUUGAUGGGACUUGAUGAUACGAUUUAUGGGACGGUUCGUUCUAAUAUUAUUGCUUAAGAUCCUCUUCUCUCACAAAGUCGUGCUUAUGCCUUGGUAGUACAAGAGGAAAGACAUCAAACCAUUACAAGGACACGUGAUGUGCGUGUCGAAGCCGUGAGCAUUGCUAUCCAAGCACCCAAGGCACAACAAGGAGCUGCUGCGUCUUUUUCGAAUAAUGCAAAUGGAGAAAAAUCUGUGCGUAAACAUUGUGGCAAAACCGGUCAUGAGAUAUCAUCUUGCUUCAAGAUUAUUGGAUAUCUGGAGUGGUGGACUGCUAAUCAUGGAAAAGGUAACUCAGGCGGACGAGGGCAGAUAAAUAAUUCUACUGGGCGUAGUAAAUCGCAUGCUGCUGUGGCUAACGCUGCUCUUCUGCCUGCUAGUGGAGGAGGAAACCAGGCUAGUCCGACUCUGUCAGCACAAGAUCGAGCUGCCCUUGCAGCUACUCUCACGGAUGAUCAAUGGGCAACUAUGGUGAAUAUGCUUAAUUCACAAAAUAAAGAUGUUUCAAAAGAGAAGCUUUCUGGUAAGUGGAUUCUUGAUACAGGGGCUUCGAGACAUAUGACAGGAAGCAGAGAAUUAAUGACUGAUCUGCAAAAUAUUGGGCCUUCACCCAUAGGUCUUCCAAACGGCACAUGCUCUCAUGCUCAGGGCGAGGGCACUGUUGAGUUUGGAAACAAUUUGAGAUUGAAUCAUGUUCUAUAUGUACCUGAUCUUAAUUGCAAUUUAAUUUCUUUAGCUUGCUUGAUUAAUGAUUUGCAGUGCCUUGUCACUUUAACGGACAAACUGUGUGUGAUACAGGACCGCACUAUGAGGACUUUGAUUGAUGUGGGUGAGCAAGAAGACGGGGUCUAUAUUUUUCAGAGUCCGGCAUCAGCAAAGGCGUGUCGUGUCUCUGCAGAAGGAAAUUAUUAUCUGUGGCAUCGGCGGUUAGGUCAUGCUUCUAAUAAGAUUAUUUCUUUACUUCCUAGUGUUAGCAAAAUGGAAUGUCAGAAAUUACGUGAUGAACCAUGUGAUAUUUGUUUUAAAGCAAAACAAACUCGAAAUGUUUUUCCUAUUAGCAUGAAUAAAGCUAAUGAUAUGUUUGCUCUAGUGCAUUGUGAUGUGUGGGGUGCUUAUUGUAUUCCGUCUUCUUGUGGUGCCCAUUAUUUUCUUUCUAUUGUUGAUGAUUAUUCACAAGGAGUUUGGGUUUAUUUGAUGGCACAUAAAUCUGAGAUGGCUCAACUUUUCAAAAAAUUUUGUGCUAUGGCCAAGACUCAAUUCAAUAGGCAAGUUAAAAUGGUACGAAGUGAUCAUGAUACAUAAUUUAAAGUUUUGAAUUCUCUUUUUGCUGAAAAUGGCAUUGAAUUUCAAGCUUCUUGUGUGGAUACGCCUCAACAAAAUGGGCGUGUCGAACGGAAACACCGUCAUCUUCUCAAUGUUGGGCGUGCCUUAAGGUUUCAAGCCAACCUGCCUCUUAAUUUUUGGGGAGAAUGUAUUUUAAGUGCUGCUUAUAUAAUUAAUCACACUCCCACUCCUUUACUUGAUGGAAAAAAUCCUUAUGAAUUAUUGCAUGGUAAGCCUCCUCCGUAUGCUCAUUUUCGUAGUUUUGGGUGUUUGUGCUAUGCUCAUUAUAUUCCUCGUGACAAGAAUAAAUUCAAUCCUAGAAGUAGGCGGUGUGUAUUUGUCGGCUAUCCCCAUGGAAAUAAAGGUUGGAGAGUCUUUGAUUUGGAAACCAAUGAAUUUUUUGUGUCCCGUGAUGUGGUGUUUUUUUAGGAUACAUUUUCGUAUCAUGAUAUCUCAUUGGUUAGCUCUCCUGCUCAUGAUCCUUGCGUCACACAUGAUUCUUUACGAGUGCAACAUGUUGAGUCUCCUCUUUCUUCACUUGGUAGUAACAGAGACGUUUCCUCCAAUGACGCUCAGGAGGAACUGAAGUCUAAUGAUAGGGGGAGCCCAUCCUCCCCUCAUGCAGUGUCCGAUUUUUCCUCUGAUUUAGUUGCCCUCCAUGACAGGGGGAGCUCUUCUUAUGAUGUUUCACUCUAUUUGCCAUCAUUUGCUGAUAAGAAUAUUGGUAUCUCUGUUCGUCAGAGUACACGACCGAAAAUUCCCAACACUCAUAUGCAUGAUUUUAUGUGUCAUACAGCUCGAGUUAUAGACCCCGCCUUCUUAUCCCCUGCACCACCAUUGUCCUCAGGUACGCCUUAUCCCAUAGCUAAAUUUGUGACUUGUGCUAAUUUUUCUACAAAUCAUUCUCGUUUCCUAGAAGCUAUUACUACUCUUACUGAGCCCACUAGGUAUUCUGAGGCUGUAAAAGACCCCCGUUGGCGUGAAGCUAUGGCCAAGGAGAUUGACUCUCUCGAAAAAAAUGAGACUUGGACACUAGCCGAUCUUCCUCCGGGCAAAAAGGUUAUUGGUUGCAAAUGGGUCUACUGCAUCAAGUACCAUUCCGAUGGCAGUAUUGAGAGGUGCAAAGCUCGACUAGUUAUCCUUGGUAAUAACCAGAUUGAAGGGGUGGAUUAUAAUGAGACAUUUACACCAGUUGCUAAAAUAGUUUCUGUUUGAACUCUCUUAGCUGUUGCCGUUGCUCGAGAUUGGGAGUUACAUCAGAUGGAUGUAAAUAAUGCUUUUCUUCAUGGUGACCUUGCUGAGGAAGUGUACAUGCAACUUCCUCCAGGUUUUUCGACUACUUCUUCGGGUAAAGUAUGUCGUCUUCGUAAAUCUUUAUAUGGUCUUCGUCAAGCCCCUCGUAAUUGGUUUGCUAAGCUUGCUGGUGCCUUGAAAUCUUUUGGAUUUGACCAAUCAUAUGCCGAUUACUCUCUUUUUACAUUUGCACGUCAUGAUAUUUCUAUUUACGUGCUUGUUUAUGUUGACUUGAUUAUUGCGGGGAAUAAUACUACUGCUAUCUCUGCUUUUAAAGCCUAUUUAAGCCGUUGUUUUCACAUGAAGGAUUUGGGUGUUCUUAUGUAUUUUCUAGGCAUCGAGAUCUCUCAAGGACCUACUGGCAUGUUCUUAUCUCAACGCAAACACACGUUGGAUAUUUUGGCUGAAACCGGUCUUCUUGGUGCAAAACCAGCUCCAUUUCUUAUUGACCAAAAUCAUCGUCUUGCUCUUGAUGAUGGUCCUAUGUAUUCUGAUCAUGUAUGGUAUUGCAGGUUCAUUGGUCGCUUAAUUUAUUUGACUAUUACUCGUCCCGAGCUUUGUUAUUCAGUUCAUGUUCUGGUUCAAUUUAUGCAAUGUCCUCGUGAGAUUCAUUGGGAGGCCGCUACUCGUGUCUUGCGCUAUCUAAAAGGUCAUCCAGGUCAAGGUAUUUUCUUACGACGGAAUAGUGCCCUUCAGCUUAUUGCCUAUUGUGACUUGGAUUGGGGCGCUUGUUCUCUUACCCGUCGUUCUCUUACUGGUUAUUUCAUGUUUUUAGGUGGUCCUCCCAUUUCCUGGAAGACAAAGAAACAACAUACUGUCUUUCGUUCUUUGGCUGAAGUAGAGUAUCGGUCUAUGGCUUUCACUUGUUGUGAAUUAACUUGGUUGAAGGCUUUGUUAAAGUCUCUUGGUGUUUCGCAUUCUCUACCGAUGCGUCUUUACUGUGAUAGUCAGGCAACACUUCAUAUUGCUACCAAUUCUGUUUUUCAUGAGCGCACUAAGCACAUUGAAAUUGAUUCCCACUAUGUGCAUGACCAAAUCCAUGCUGGUAAUAUUGUUGCUCCUCAUGUUCGUACUUCAGAGCAACUUGCAGACAUUUUCACAAAGGCGCUUGGUCGACACCAGUUUGAGAAUAUCCUUCGCAAGUUGGGCAUUCGUGAUCUUCAUGCUCCAACUUGAGGGGGAGUAUUGGGAAUGUGUGCAGCAACUAACGUGUGCAUGAAGCAACUAACGUGUGCAUGUGCAGUAACUAACGGGUGCAUGGAGCAAUUAACGUGUGCAUGUGUUGUAACUAUUGUAAUAUUCUCUUUGUAUAGCUUUUGUAUUCCAUUAGGAAUAGAAGGAGCUUUUGUAUUCCAUUAGGAAUAGAAGGAGCAUAUUUAGGAGACUAUUUAGAGAUUUCGUAGCUAUCUUUGAUUUUGGUAUAGGUGUAUAUAUGAAUAGCCGUGUGAUAUACAACUAGGACACAAAAUUUCUUCCCCUCUCAACAACGUUUUCAAAUAAUAUUAGAAAAUUCAUCAUGACUAUUAACACACUCUUUAAUUCCAAAAAUAUCAUUAUUUCAGUUAUUCUAAAUAACUUUCUCUCUGCUAAAAUCCCAAAUACAGGUAUCUUGUUUCUUGUUCUCUUUCUCUCUUUUUAAAUAGUUUUCUUAUAAGUCAAUUAUUUCCUUAAGGAUUGGUUUUAAACUCUAAAUUAAAAUGUACAUUUGAUUCAAAUUAAAGAUGAGAAUAUUGAAAUAAAUUUUUAGAUAUUUUGGUACUUUUACCUUAUGACGGUAAAAUAAUCAUAUUAAUUUAUGUUAAAGCAAUGUUAUUGUUUAAAUAUAAUAAAAAAUAGUCUUAAAAAAUAAAUGAAUAUCAAAUAAAUCACUACUAUAUCAUUAAAAUAUGAAAAAAUUUGUAUAAAAAAUUAUUCAAGCUAAAGUAAAUUUUUAGAUAUUUUGAAACUUUAUGAUGAGGGUAAAAUAGUCAUAUUAAUUUAUGUUAAAGUAACCUUAUUGAUCAAAUAUAAUAAAAAAAUAGUGUAAAAAAUGAAUAUGGAUUUAAUUGAAUAAUUUUUUUCUAAAAAUUUCUCUUAAUUUGAAUUUUUUUAAAAAUAAUGUAAACUUGUUGUAAUAAGUUUUGAAAAUCGGGUGGAUUUAUAAAAUUUGUGGAGUGGAAUAUCACCACCUGAAUAUAAAUGUAUUCGUCAAAUGGGUAAAUUUUGGAUUAUCCCUCUCAUGAAUUAACUAUUUCAAACCACUCGUUUACUUUGAAAACUUCAAGUUGCCCCUAUUUUUGUCCAAAAGAUUAAGAAAAAGAGGGUUCAAUCGAUGAUUUUUUUGUCUUCUUAACAAAAUAAAAUGGGAAUAAAUUGAGGUUUUUAAAAGAAAGAGUUGAUUUAAAAAUAGUCAAUUUAUGAGGAGAUAAUUCAAAAUUAACGAUUUACAAAGAGUUUGGUCUUAAUUUAAUAAAUAACCGAUUAACUCUUUUUGUUUUUAUCAUUAUAUUUUUGUUUUAGUAUUUUCUUUGACUGACCAAUUAUGAAUAAAUUCUAGUGAGAUAGAGGAUUAAAAAAUCAAUUUCUUACUAUGUUGAUUAAAACAUCAAUUUCUUACUAUUAUAUGUAAGUGGGAAUUCUUGAAUAAUUUCUUUGUGAAAUGUUAAUUAAUUAAUUUAUUUUAUUUAAAAGGUAGAAGGUGAGCAAAAUUUAUAAAAGAAAAAAAUCAUAAAUGAACAAGAGAGAAGAAUUAUAAUUUACAAAUUAACAACUCUUUUAUUCAAAACAAGUACUUGUUGAUACUAGCAUCCAGAAUAUACAUCUCAAUCACAACCCACGGAUUGUUGACCACUGCCAAAUACUCAACUCACAACUUCAAAGUAAAAUGACAAUGCAAGCUUCCAUUAGAGCAGCUUUUGUAAUCAAAACAAUGGAAUCUCAUCAACCAUCAAUCGUUUCCUAGGGCAUGGUCAUCAGUGAAGAAAAUCAUUUAGCAUACAAAGCUUCAGUAGUGAGCUACAGGGGCUUAAACAAAAGUCAGUACAUGAAAGAAGACGUGCUAGAAGAAACCAAGCAUCAACCCCAUAGAGGUAUUCCAUGGCAUGGAUUGUAACUUAUAAGUCUGGUAAAUCGCUGAUCCGUUGAUGGUGUUAUGAGCACUCAAAUAAAUGAUUGCUUUUCUCAACGUUGGAAUGUUUUUUAAACAUCAAUGUAUUUUUUGCUCUAAGUAAGGCACACUUAUCUUUACUAAUAACUGUAAAAUUUGGUAGAGGAAAAAAUAGUUGUAAUUCCAUAACUAUUUUGUAAAUCUUUUGCCAGAAUUUUGUGUACUCUAGAGAAAAGUUGGAGCAAGUAAAGAGCUCAAGAGCCUUUUUUUUUUUUUUCCUUUGCUUUCUGAGGAGAAGAGGAGACAGCGAAUUUGAUUUUAUAUUGAAUAUAGAGUCUAGUGCCAUAAAUAUGUGAUUUGAAGAAUCCAUUUCUCAGAUUUUCUCCAUUAAAUUUAAACUUAAGAGAAAGAUAUGGCGGCGAUGCUCCGUCAUAAGGUAUGAUAGAACACCAUACAAACUGAUUCAAGUAAAAUAAAAAUGAGUAUUUAAUUUUACAAGGUAAGCUUAAGGAUAAGACUAACCAGCCUCCUGGACAUAGCUCGAUGGUUGUGAAUACACAGUCACAAAGUUUGAGUAAUAAUUGAAAAAAUAUUGGUAUUUAGAGGGUGGGAUUUCUCAUCCCAUCCAAACCUAUAAGUAAAUAGUAUUUUAUUAUAUUAUUUGAUUAAUUUACAUUGUUCAUUAGGAAUUAUAUGAUUGGUACAUUUGGCCAAAGUUCAUUGCUGUAUCCCAUGGCAUAUAAAAAAUAAGAUGGUGUUGUUUGCAUAGAAUUACUGCUUAGUAAUAUGUUGCCAUUAAUGGUAAUUAAUUUUGAUAUCUAAUCAUCAGAUAUUUCAAACUCUGAAUUUUAAAUGCUUAUCUUCAGUCUGGACCUGAUUUUUUAAGUGAGAAUUCCAUUUAUGGUGUUGGCUGUAAAGAGAUAACAACAAGCACCCUAUGUCCACUACUGUAAAGGAACUAAAGUAUUUUAAACUAAUUUGUUUGCCUGGAAUAAUCAAUUGAUGGAAAAAAUAUAGUAAUGAAAUUGAUAAUUAUGAGUAAUGCUACGUACAUAGUUAGGAAUUAUGACUAGAAUUUAAGUCAAUGCUUGUUACUUCAGUCUCUCAAGCAAUAGCCUUAUUCUAUCUACCAAGGCAAUGUACUAUUAGGCUAAACUCUUGCUUCUUAGUCUUAAGACAACCAUUUUACAUGUAUAUUUAAGUGCGAAUAAAUUAUCAUAAUAUAUGAUUGUAAGUUUGGAACUCUUUAUUAUAUUACUUUUGAAUAUAACCCUAGUGUUUUUUAAUUAUAUAUGCAACUUUUAAACUUUUUAAUUUGUAAAUUCUCACUUAAAAUAUAUGAGUUGGUAACAUGGACAAAGCCAUCAACUUGCAGCUGGGGAUAAAUAAAUUAAAGUCGAUGCUAGUUAACUUCUAUAUAUCAAGCAACAUCAUCGACUUACAUAUUAUAUUUCAGUGACACUAAGGCUACAAUAAAAAAUGACCAAAAAUUCGAUACCAUGAAUAUUAUAUAUUUGAGUGACAAUAAAGUUAUAAUACCAAAAGAAUAAAAAUGUUUAUUUUCUUGUUUAUUAUAUUUUGAAAAAAGGAUAUCGGCACUCCUAUAAUUUAUUGAAAUGGUCGUAGAGACCUCUAUAUUUUCAAAAAUGGUCACAUAAGUAACUUUUGGGACAAAACUUUUUUUUCUUGACAAAUCUUAAGGGUCUAUGUGAAUUUGUGGCUAUUUUUGAACCAAAAAAAAAAAAGAGUUUAUGUGUCUUAAAACGGUUUGUACUUUGUAUGGCAAUUUCUAAACAUAAGAAAGAGUAUGUAUAUCUUGAAAAUGGGUUUGUAUAAUUAUUUAUUUGUAUAUUAUUUAUGAAAAUAAGAGAGUCUCCAGGACUAUUUCCUCAAAUUAAGAGGAUGUUUCUGUCCUUUUCCCUUACAUUUUUAACAUAGGAUGGUAAUGAAUAAUUAAAAAAGGGACCCAAGUAAUAAAUAUGAGAAACAUAUCUAAUUAUCUUUCUCACUUUGAAUUUUUUUAAUAUACACAACACAAUGAAAGUGCUGCUUGAACCAUAAGACUUUCAACCAGAAAAUCUCGAUUUGAAGAUACCUUCAAAAUGUUGGCACUUUUUUAAUUGACUUAUUUUGAUAGCUUAAUUGGUAAAUUUCAAAUUAAAAUUGAAAGGUUAUCAUAUGAAACACUUGGACUUUUUAAACUAAAAUUGAAAGAUAAUAUUAUGAAACCCCUGGACUUUUCAAAAGCCAAUCAGAAUGGAAAAUGAUGGACAAAUCGAUCAUUUCUGGUAACAAGAUCUUGUGCAUGACCUUAGAUGAUCCCAACAAUGUAAACUCGUUUUUCUUUUUAUUAUUAACCAUCAAUUGUUACUAUAUGUUUUUUUUUAUCAUAGAAUCAGAUAAAAUAACGUUGACAUCCUUUCAAUCAAACGGAAGCUUAAUUAUGAAGCUACUUUCUUAUUGCUGUAUAUGUGUUAUCAUAUUUGUUUUCAUAGGCGUAGGGCUAGAUCUAUUGUAAUUCUAAAAUGUACCACUUUUCAAGGAGUAGGUGGGAUUGAAAAACUGUAUUAAACUGCUGGGACAACAUCAUGUGUUUAUAAUAAUUAUUAAACAUAUGCAUUCUACUCUUCAAACUUACAACACUUCCGUAGCUUAUUUUAUCAAACACUUAACUUUUGCAUUUGUCCCGUUGAUUUUCUCGUCAAUACCAGCAAAAGUGAAUUAUUUCAUAAGCAACCAUCCGAAUCUAUCCCUAUAUAAGUAUUAUAAAUAAUUUUUUCUGAAAAUUAUUUUAUUUCUAGAAAAAUAUAUUUUGAUAUUAUUAAUCUAUCAUGCAAAUUUGAUUCAACACUACGAUUUGUUCGCCAAUGACUGACUUUAGAUUUCUAUAAGAAAUAAUAUAUAUAUAUAUAUAUAUAUAUAUAGACACACACACACACAAUAUAACUACUUACGAGGAUCCUUUAAUAAAAUUUGAUGCCAAAAUAUGAUACAAUAAUUCCCCAUACAUCAUAUGAUUGCUGGUUUUUCGCUGAUCGAAGUAUGCAUACAUAACAUGAUUUUAUUUAAAGAGAAGUAUGAUAAUAAUGAGAUACAGUUAUUGUACAAUAAUCUCAACUUUGUAAGCAUAUUACUAUUCUAACUAGAAUAUAAUUCAUUCUUUUAUGCCAAGCAAGAUAAAUAAAAUUAACUCCUUACUUCAUUAUAAAUAUGCUAGGGUUAGGGGAAGCAUAAGCCGUGAUGCUAGUUUCUUGUUCAAAAUUUUCCAUGUCCUCCUUAAACAUUACCACCAAUGCUUCUAUUCCUUCACUGUCACUUGCGCUUGAUAAAAUAGCAAGAUCAGGUAACAAUAUGGGCCCGAGACUAAACCAAACAGGCUUCCCCCAACCAAAAUCAACUUCAUCACAAGGCAAUCCAACCAUACUAGUCAAAAGAAAUGACCUUGAAUCUUCCCCUACUU
RNAcentral lists this long non-coding RNA (63692 nucleotides) under Citrus maxima (pomelo). RNAcentral's name for it is "long non-coding RNA (CMAX_LNC000405)". Lineage: Eukaryota; Viridiplantae; Streptophyta; Magnoliopsida; Sapindales; Rutaceae. The record is from RNAcentral.